GAGAGAGAGAGAGAGAGAAAAGAAAAUAAUAAAGAACGUGAGAGGGAGAAGUCACAACUGAGAGUGAUUUAAAUGAAAUGGAUAAGAAUAUAUAAUUGUUGGUAUAAAAGGCCUACUGGGGUCCCUCUAAUGAAUGGUGAUGAGUCAGCAAUCGGAUUGGAUUGAAAAAUGGAUAAAAGCUGAGCUGGAGUCUUUGUCUCCUCACCGGUCAUCACGCCUUCACUUUAUUUUGCUCACCCCUUUCUUUCCUAUCAAAUAUAUAACCAAUUCAGUUAUUACUAACCUAAGUUCCUCAAUUUUUACCAAUUUCACUCCUUCCAUCAAAUAUUUUACAUAAUAAAUCUACUUUUUUUUGUUUAAUUUUAGUUGAAUCAUCUCUAACCUGUACAUGAAUCAAAUCCAUAAAUAUACAUAUUUUGUUUGAAAUCGUUAGAUUUGAAUACGUUAAUUUUCUCAUUCCGCUAAUAUUAAUAAUAAAAUACAGACAGAAAGAUAUGUAAAUUUAUAUAAUUAAAGGGUGGGUGGGGCCUUGGAUGGGGCAAUAGCUUAAAGCUUUUGUUAUUGUACUAAGAAAGUGACUUCUCUUCAAACCUUUCUUUACAUUCAAAAUAUCUUCUCCUUUUUCUUUUCUUAAAAAGAAUAAUAAUUGAAAAAGAACUUUAGUUUAAACUUAACAAUUUAGUGAUUAUAAUUUCAAGGAUAAAUUAUAAAUUUUAGUCUAGGUUUGCUUCUAUCAUUUUGUUUUCUAACUUUUAAAAUUACAAAUUUAAUCAUUUUUUUUAUAAAAUCAACCCAUCUACUCUAUCAAAAUGAAUUUGUUUUAGGUAUUAUUAGAUGUAAAUUUAAUUGUAAGUCUAAAUUAAAAAAAAAAACUUUUAAAUCUCAAUUCAUAAAAUAUCCCUUACACACGAAAUUGAAAGUUUGUGAAAUCACUAGACAAGAAAAUUAAAAUCGUAAAGAUCCAUCAAAUGUUUUUAAAAAUCUAAAUACCAAAUAUACUGAACUUAUAAUUUAAACCUCGUUAACUAAGUUUGUAAGAUUAAGAAUGAACACACAAGAUUUUGAAUUAGAUCUAUAACUUAGCAUACUAUCCAUAAAGGUCCUUUUUUGCCCAACAAGUUUGUGAUUGUGUACCCAAAACUUACUUUAUUUUAUUUUAUUAAUAAAAGUACACAUCAAAUAAUUACACAUAUUAUGGAAACAAAUCUGCCUCAACUAAUAGACAAAGUUAAUUAGGAAAUGAGUUUCUAAGUUACAACCUCCUCCACUUCCCAUUAUGCUAUACCAUCAGGUUUCCAUUCGAUUCUUUUAUUUUAAAUAUUAAUAAUUUUAUUCUCUAAAUCAUUUUUUAAAAUGGAGAUAAUUUGAUUUUUUUUCUAAAUUUUAAUGAUUUGCUAAAAUGAAUAUAAUUUGAUUUUUAGAAGGAAUUUAAUUUUUUUUAAAAGGACAAAAAUCAAAAUCAAACCCUACUUUAUUUCUUAGCCCUCAUUUGUUAUCUAACCAAUAUUUUUUAAAAAAAUGCAACAUAGUCAAUGGUCUAAACUUUAACAAUAAAAAUUUUGGAAAUGAAAUUAUUAUCAUGGUCACUUUUUUUAGGAUUACAAAAAGAGUAAAGUUGAUCCCUCUGUUAUCGACCUUUUUAUGGUUUCAUGCGAUUAUAGUUAAACAUCCAUAAUUUAAGACUCUUCACUGAUUAGGUACCAUAGGGGAAAAAAUAUGUUUAGAUGAGUUUUUAUUCAUAAGUUUGUGACAUGUUAACAUGAAUAUUUAUAAAUAUGUCAAAGUUAAACAUCCCCUUCAAGUUUUUAACCUAUAUAGAAUAAUUGUGAUACAAAUAUAAAAAAAGUGAAAUUAAAACUAACGAAAUAGUUGUUUAGAUUUGUAGAAAUUACAUAAAUAUGAUAUAAUUUUGGUUUUGAGGAAUGCGUCGGCUAUUCUUCGUGGGCUGGGCUGGGCCUUAUAUUGUGACAAAGGUCAACAGGUCAUGACUAUGGGUUUGGAAUUCAGGCCCAAAAGCUCAAUACAUCGAAAGUAAGGAAUUCGUUACAAUCUGUCAGUCUUUUGUCAAGAAAAUUGUUGCCAUUUUUCCGUUAGUCAUUUAAGGUUCAUUCUGAUUUCAUAAAGUUUCAUUUUUUUUAAUCCAUUGUUCGUUUUUAUAGUUUCCGAGUUCAUAUUUUAAAAUGAAGUUUUGACAUCCUCCAUUGAUGUCAUGUAAAUUUGAUAAACAGUGACCAAAUGAGUUACUUUUUAAACCAACACUAGUUACAUUUUGAAAUGAAUAAUGAGUAUAGCUUAAAUGACGUAAAAUGUGUAUAAUUACUAUCUUGUUAAAUCUUUCGUUUCCAUCUCACCAUGGUUGACAAAGGAAAAGUUCUUUUUUUCUUUUAAUAUUGGACCAAUAUAGAUAUUUUAUAACUACAAGUACUAAAUUAAACUUUUAAAAGUACCCAUAUUGGUUUAACAUAAUUCUUAUAGUUUGGAAAAAUUAAAAUUGAGUAUAGUAUAACAAAACCAUUGGUCGACAAAAUUUAUGUGAGACAUUAGAGGAAGUAAAUUGGUUAUUCUUGGAGUAAUUAUAAUUGAUGACCAUUUUAUGAAUAAUAAUUAAAGAUAUAGCAACAUUUUAAAAAUAUUAUAAAUAUAGCAAAAAUAUCGCUGAUAAACUUGUAUCGCCGAUAGAUUUGUAUGAUCUAUCAAUGAUAGACCGAUAUUUACAACAUGGCCUAUCGGUGAUAGAGUUUUAUCAUUGAUAGAAUUUGACAAAUUUUGUUAUAUUUACAAUUUUUAAAAAAUGUUGCUAUAUGCUUAAUUAUUUUACCUCUAAUAGCUAAAUUUGCAACUAUUCAUUAUUAUUAUAAUCUCAUGUUGUUGUAAUUGAGUUAAGAUAGUUUGUCUUUGGAGCGUAAAUUACUUUAGUUUGAACUGUAACAAUAUUUGUUGAGAUAUGAACUAUUUAAGUUCGAAAUUAAAAUUUUUCAAACAAUGUUGACUAUUUAACUAAUGGAAGUAUUUCCUCUAACCGUAGAUAGCUAUUAUAAUCUUAAAUAAUUCUUCUUUCAAACGUCGUGUAAGAUUUAGAUUAUAACUUUUUUUUCAAAUAAACAAAUUAUAAUUUAAUCUACAAAUAAAUUAGAAUUCGAACUUAAUUGAUAUGAUAUUUUAAUUUAGAGGUACCAAGUUGAAUUAUAGGGACAAAACCUGGAAAAAAUAUUAAGAAAAAAUGAAUUGAUUUUUUUUCAAAAAGAAAAAGAAAACAGAAUUCACAAUUACAUUAAUUUUGCUGAGUAACUUUAUAUGAUUAUGACGGAGUGAUGGAGACCAGGUCCAACGACUCCAGCUUUAAGGUGACGUAAAUAAAACGACAGCCCAAUUAAAUUCAAAUAGUCGGAAAUGCAACCAGUAAAAGAAUUACACGUGGAACAAACAAUAAUGUCGUUGAAGAAAAAGGUAAACUAGGAAAUCAGCCACCGUGGGAUCUGAAAACGAAUCCAAACCGUACAAAUCAAACGCCAGAGGAGAAUGACUUUGGUUAAUGAUAAUAGAUCGGGGAGUAUCCGAAUAUUUAUUGUCAUUCUUAUUCAUUCUUCUUCCCUCUCUCUCUCUAUGCUUUACAGAAAGGUAAAAGUACAAUUAUUUGCAAAAUGACACAUUUACCUCUUUACAUUUCUUUUAUAAAAAAUAUAGUCUAUUUUUCUGUCAAUUUUUCAUUUAAGUAAACUAGACCUCCCCCACUAAAUUUAUAGUUGUACAAUAGAGAGAGGUUUUAAAAUAUUUUAAUUAAUAAAAUUGUCUUUUGCCAUAUUUAACUCAAAUAGUUAUAACUAUUUUAAGAGAAAGAUACUUGUCCGACUGGUGUGUUCACAUCAGAUUGCAAUCCUUUAUAUCAAUUAUUUAAAUCAUACUCAUAUGUUAAAUAGUACGAUAAUCCGUUACAUAAUGCUUCAUAUGUAUGGUUUAAAUCUGUAAAAGGAUAUACCCCUAAAUGUCAAGAGUUGUAAUAGAAGCAAAGUGCAAUGCCAUUCAUUUGAAUAUAUUUUUUUACUUAGAUCGUGAUGCUUUACAUCCAUGGUUCAAAUUACAUCUAUACACCAUGAAUAAUAAUAAUACUCCUUAAUAUUAUUUCCUUUUCCUUUCACAAUAAAUAAAUAAAUACAUUUUUAACAAGCUUAACUUCAAUCUUCAAUCUAACAUCUAAAUAAUUUAAGAAUUUUAUGUACAUAUUGUUUCCUUACAGUCCAUUUUAUAUAUAGUAUAGUACAUACGAGUAAAUGAGCUGAAUUAUUAGCUAAAGACUAAAAAUAAAUAUAAAUUUGUGUUCCAGUUUUUAACUUGUUUCUUGAAAACCUUGGUAGAAAUAAAUAACAAAUGAUAAAUCUAGAGAUAGAAGAAGGGUUUAUUUGACCUAGUUUUCACUAGGGUUUAGUUAUUCAACUUUAUGUUAUAUUGUAUGCUUAAUGAAUUGCUGAAUUUCUUCCCUGUAAACAUAAACUAAGUAGUGGACUCUUGAUUAUUAUUGGUUGUAUUUUAUAUUGGACAUCGCUUAAGAUUUGUUUAUAUUAAUUUUAUUCUUUCAAUUUAAUUAUCCAAAAAUCAACAAAAUCAAAUAGAAUAUCAUCCCUAAUUUUAACUUUCAAUAUAUAAUCAAAUUCAAAUAAAUUAGUAUUAUACCAUUCAUCAAUCACCACUAAACUUCAAUUUAUUUAACUUUGGGUUAUUUUCAUUUAAUGUCAUUAAUUUUACAUGGUCCACUCUCAAUUAUAUCAUACAAAUUGAAAAUUUUAACUUUUAUUUUAGGCCUGGCUGCAUUUAUGGCACAAUAAAAAUUAAAUAUUGAGAAAUGACAAUUCAAAGAAACAAUGAUAGGCAUAUAUGUAUUUAGUGCCCUAUAGCUAAUAGACCUCAUAGAAAUCAUCAAAACAAACCAGAAAAAAAUUGAUUGAAACUUAGAAAAACAGGUCAAAUGUAAAAAUCCAAUAGCUAUAUCUAAUUAUUAACCUCCAAAUAUUUGAAAAUUUAACUUAGUUAAUUUGCUUUUGAUCUAAGUAAUUAUGCGUCAAUCAUCAACCAAGCCAAUACUUAAAUACAUUUCAGAUAAUACCUAUCUUCCUCCAUCAUUUUACCCAAUUUUACAAUCAUAGUUUAUCUUGAAAUCAUUCUUAUCUCUUUUUUGAAACUUUUGUAUACAAACGAACAAGGAAAAAUGCAUAAGAAGCAUCCAAAUAUUACCCUGUUUAUACGUUACAUUUAUCAUUGAUUUUUAAAGCUUAAAUUUAUUUAUUUGAUCAUUAUGUUUCUACUCUUAUUCUUAAAAAUUAUGUCAAGUUUUUUUAGAUUAAAAUUAAGAAAAUUAAAAUAUUUGUAGCCUUUUAAUCUUUGAAUUUUGAGUUUAAUUCAUAAAAUUUAAAAUAUCACAAUAUCAUUUUGAUAUUUGAGUUAUAUUUCAAUUUCAUUCAAAAAAAAAUUACAACAUUUUCAUUUAUAUUAUUUUGAAUUCUCACUAAAUAUUCACCAUAAAUAAAUUAAACAAUUAUGAAAUUUAAUUUUAAAACUAAUUCCAACAGAGAACAUAAUAAUAAUUUAUUUGAACAUUUAAAAUGAAUGAGUAAAUAUUAAACCUAACUAAAUGAAUAUUUAAUGAAAAACCAUAAUUUAAAUAACGUUUAAAGUAUAUCUAGAGGAUUAAAUGGAAACAAAAUUUAAUUUUUAAAUACAAUAAACUAUAACAUUUUGAAUCAAAUCAACUAAAUUGAAAUCAAAAUUAAAUUAAAACAAAAACUAAAGAAUAUAUUAUUUUAAACUGAGUGAAAAACAAAACUAAAAGUCCUGUACCAGAAAAAAAGAAAAAGAAAAAAAAAAAGGAAAGCUUUUUUCUUUGUUAUAAAUACCAAAAUGGAUGGGAACUACAGAAAUCGAUACAUUCGAUUUGAUAUAUUAAAUUUUUAACGUUUGAGUUUUGUAAGAAUUGAAUGAAAAGAAAGUAAAGAAAUAAAAGGGGAUGUGGACUGAGUAUCUGCAGUUCCAUUGCCUCGCUUUAAAGCUCCUCCUCCUCCUCCUCCUCCUCGGUAGCCACUCGUGGUGCUAUUGUAUUUUGACUACACAACGUACUCCACCACUCGCCUUUCUCUUACACGCGCAUGCUUUCUUCUUCUCUUCUCCUUCAACAAAUAUUUGGACUAAAAUUACUUUGCAAACCCUAUACUUUACAAUUUGUUUAAUUUUAAUCUUUUCCAAAUUAAUUCAUAACAUAAAAAUCCAGGUUAGUGAUAUAAAGUUUCCUUUUAAAAUCAACCAUAAAAUAGUAGAUCAUACUUUUAAAACAAAUCAAGAUUUUAUUUGAAUUUUCAUACAUUUUGAUGUUUAGAUUAAAUUUUAAUUUAGGAGAAAACGUUAAGAGACAACAAAUGGUUUUUGAAAAUAUAUUAGGAAAUAAUAAUAUUAAUUAAUUUUAAAAUUGAUUGAAAUCACGCAUUUAGAAGUGUCCUAAUUAAAAUCAAAUAUGUCUCAAAUUAUCUACGUCAAAAUAAUAAAUUUGAAUUCUUUUAAAUUUAUAAAAGUAAAAUUUAAAAUCUUGAACUAGAAGUUAAAAUUGAGUCAAAUUUUAUUAUAACUAUGGGUUCAAUUUCUGCAAACAUGGUAGGUUUAAGGGCCUAAUUCUAACAUAGGUAGAAAUUUAGAGGUCUAAUUAAAAUUUUGAGAGUAUAUUAUAGAAUGGUAUCCACAAUUUGCUCAUGAUUUUACUUUCCUUGUUGGGACUUAGGGGAGAGUGUCCCCUCACGCUCUUCUAUAAUACCUUCCCUUUAUUUAUUUUGUCUUUGAAUUUCAAACAUGGAUUUAAAUUAUUUUUCAAAUACCAUUACGUGUCCUUUGAAAAAUAAUACAUGAAAUUAUCAAAAUUGUGAAGCUUUGUUCAUGAAAAUCAUUUUUUAGAAGUUAUGAACUGUUUUGAGUGCUUUUUUUUUUUUUAACAUAGCAUCUCCCUUUUUAAAUUUAUUUUACUCCUUUAUUCUUAUUGUCGUGUUAAAAUCAUGAGAGAAAUUGAAUUAAAUAAUUGAAAGAUUACGUAUAAAUUAUAAAAAUCGUUUUAGAAAUUAUCCAAUCCCAAUAAACAUAAAAAAAAUAACUAGGUUGAAAUAUUAUUUUGGUUAGUUCAAUAGAUUUUAAAUUUAUUGAAUGAAUAGACUAAUAAACAAAGUUUUUUUUAAAAAAAAAAAAAUUGAAUAUUUUAUCUUAUAAUCAAAAGUCCCAACUUGCAUAUGGAGGUUAUUUAAAUGUAAAUGUAACAUGUAAGAAGUGGUUUUUCUUUCCUCCCCUAAUUGUAAAUUUUAAAUAAUUGAUUUUGAUUUCAUUUUAAUUAAAUUGAGAAACAAAGGUAUGAACUAAGAAGUAAGAUGGCAUCAUGUCCAAAAAGUCAUUUCUGCAGAAUCAAAGCUGUAAAGAAGUGGUUUAUAUUAUAUAUUUUCUAAUUCAUAUAGAUUCCAUCUGUAAAGUAACUUCAACACACAAACACACACCCACGCAAAAAAGUUACUAUUUAAUAUUGUUUUGGUUUUAUAUAUAUAAUUUUGUCUACAAAAUUCAAUCAUACGAUGUAUUGUUUUAUUUAUAUUAUUCAAAAAAUUUCCAAAAUUCUUAACAUGAACACAUUUAAAUGGGUUGAAUUUCUAGGACAUAACAACCUAUUUUAGAUUAGGGAAAUUGUUUUUUUAGUAGGAUCAUGUGAGUAUUUCUUAUAUAUGUGUCAUGUGAAGUUGAUGGGAUAUCUAUUAUAUUUCUAAUUCAUUCUUCCAUAAGAGUCAACUAUUUUUUAAUAAUUAAUCUUCCAUAAUAUUAUUUUAAAGUUUUAUUCUUUUCACAUUUUUAAUUCAUUUUAUGGCGGAUAUAUCAGUUUAUAGGGUUGUUUGAGCCAUUAACUCACUUACAUCAAGUGGGUUAUUAUUGUUUAUUUGAUAGUUGGGUUAUUAUUGUUUAUUUGAUAGUUUGAUAUCUUAUUCCGAUAGCUUAUGUUUUCCAAUUAUUAUGACUAAAGUUUAAUUACAUAUAAAUGAUUUGAAAAUUUUGGCUGUUUAUUGUGUCUACUCACUUUAGGUUAAUAUAGAAAACAAAUUUUGUAAGUUUUAAAAGAAUAAGCUUGUUUUUUUUUAAAAAAAAUAUAUUGUAGAACAAGAAUAACAAAAUAUUGAAUUUCUAAUAAAAGGGGUGUUUUUGGCAAUAUUUUCAUUUUUCAUUUUUAGUUUUUGAAGAUUAAAGAUAUUUAUUUACUUAUCUUGUUUUGUAUCAAAAUUAAGUAGAAAAGUUGCAUUAUUAACCAAAUUCCAAAAAUCACAAACACAUUUUUUAAAAUUAUUUUUUUAUAAAAAAUUUAGAUAUGGAAGUAAGAGAUUUUGAGGUAGAAAAGAUUUUUAUAAACUUAAGUUUCAAAAACAAAAAAGAGUUCAUAUUUCAAAAUCUAAAAAGAAAAAUACAAAGAUCUCAUAUUGCAAUUGACAAUUCUUUAGUUUUUGUUUUUGAAAAUCAAGCUCAUCAACAUUAACAUACCCUCUAAAUCAUUUUCACUAUCUACUUUUUGUCAACGAUUUAAAAAAAAAAAUCUUUUAAAAACUUUUUUCUUCUUUCUCAAACUUGACUAAGAAUUCAAAACCCCGAUAAACAUGCAGAUAAAAUAAGAAAGAAAUGGAUUUAAAUUUAAAAAAUAAAAACAAAAACAAAAACAAAAGAUAGUUACCAAAUGAGAGUAACAUUUAUAAAAUUAUUUAUUAAAUAUAAAAAAAAAUGUUUGGGGCAAGAAUUUGGUUAAAGUAGUCAUGUACAUAUUAUUAUUAUUUAAAAAAUAAACUAUUUUAGCUUGAUUAAAAAAAUAAUAUUACUAUUUUAGCUUGAUUAAAAAAAUAAUAUUACUAUUUUUGCUUGAUUAAAAAAAUAAUAUUACUAUUUUUGCUUGAUUAAAAAAAUAAUAUUACUAUUUUUGCUUGAUUAAAAAAUAAUAAAUAUUAGGAGAAAAAAAAAAGAUGAGUAGUAAUUGAGAAUUUCUAAAUAAUCGAAAAAAAAUAGUUAUUAUAGAAUAAUUCUUAGUCCAAUGAGUAGAAGAGUUAAAAAUUAGAAUGGUAAUUUAGAGAAAGAAGAUAGAUAAAUAAAUAGAAAAAAAUGGGGAGGGAAAAGUAGUGUUGUCGAUAUAAACGAGGCGAAAGGAAUUUAGAAAAAGCGAAAGGAGAGUGAAGAAAACGCGGGAGAGAGUGCGAGUGGGUGGAAGAAGAAACAAGGAAGGAAGGAGAGGUCGCUUUGAAAGCAGUCGUACACAUCAGACGCUUCUUCUUUUUAAGUAACCAACCCCUCCCACUCUCUUCCUCCCCCAAAUUACUCUUUCCCCAUUUUUCCGAAUGAAUCGUCUAGCCCCUUUAUCGGAGGAGCCCAUCGACGAACACGACGCUCGUACUCGUACUCGUAAUCGCAACCGUACCACUGCCGGAGCAGGAGGAGGAGGACGAUCCUGGCGGAACUGGAUCAGAACUCAUUUCUCCAUCCUUUCUUCUGCAAAAAAAUCCGAUGGCCUCAAUGUUCUUCUCAGCGUCCUUGGCUGCCCUCUCUUUCCCGUCUCUCUUCAACCUAACUCCGCCGUCUCCAUUACCAAUCAGGUCCCUCUCCCUUUCCUUUCUUCUCUUUACCGUUUCCGUUUAAUAAAAUUUAAAUAUACAAACAAACAUCUCUCUUAGGUUUAGUUCCGAUUUUGAUUUGUUGGAGAUCUCUGUUUUUAAUUAUUAUAUUUUUAAAUUUUUUGAAUAAUGUAAUAUAGUAUUUGCAACACUUACAACGUUUUCUUAAGCUUUAAAUUACUGAAGUACCCAUGACCCUUUUAUUUGAGUGACCAAAUUAAACCUCUACCCUCCAUCCUUAUGCUUAUUUUGGUCCCACAUUUCAUAUAUAGGAUCCUACACUUCUUUCUAUACCAACAAAAUUUUGUUACAUGUUGGACGAAAAUUGGGAUCUGUGAUGGAAAAUUGGAAUUAUUGUGUGAAUCACUAUCAUUCCAUUUAUCUUCAAAAUUAAUUUUCUUGACCAACGAUGCCGCACUACAAAUUUCUAGAAAAUAUUCGGGUUUUAAAGUGAUGAUAAAUUUUAGGGGUAUCUUUAGUGAGUUCAUAUAUAUAUAUAUAUAUAUAAUUCAAUGACGUGAUAGGAAAUUUGAAUAUUGUACUUUUCUUUUCUUGCUUUAAAAUAGGUGUAUGAUAUCUUUAUAUAAAUUGAGUAAAGUGACAUUAAGUUUUUGUUAUUGUUUAUGAAGUUAACAAACAGUCAUUUUGUUUUCUUUAAAUUAAUUAUAUAAAUGAAACAUUUUCUGAACUCAUAAGUGAAAAUAUGGCAUAGGAGGAGAUCAUAGACUAAAUUCUUUAAAGAUAUUUUAUUUAUGUCCUAUUUAUUAUUAUUAUUUGGGCCUUUGGGAAAGAAAAGAAACUUGUGAUUUAAGCUAGAAGAAUGUGCUGAAAACCAAAAAUGAGUGGUCCAGAAUUUAUGUUUAAUGCAACGAUUUUCUUUCUUUCUUUCUUUCUUUCUUUCUUUUUAAUGAGUUUAAAAAGUUGUCCCUCUUUUUCAGUCUAGAGGUUACUACGAAUUAUUUUCUUGAAAUUCUAUAUAUAAUUUUUAUACCAAUUUGAAAACAAAAAUAGAUGAAUUUUAAUUAAUACGUGUAUUUCUUAGAACAUAGGUAGGGUACGGACAAAAUAAAUUGUGUAUUUUUUAAUUUUAGUCUCUAAUGUUAGUUUGUAAAACUUGAAAACUAGAUUAACAUAUUUUAUUUCCCUUUUUGAAAAUUAAUAUUAUUAUUUAAUCAAUUUUGGUAAAAUUUAACUUUGAAGUAUUUUCUCCCUGAAGAAAGAAAAAAACUUUGAAGGCUUAAAUUGAAAGUUUAUUAAAAGUAUUGGGAUUAAAUGUGGACAAAUGGAAAUAUAAGAAUUAGAGUUCAACAAAUUAUGUAUGAGGACAAUGAUAUCUUAACUUAUCAACUUUGUGUCACAUAAAUUUGCAGUUUUUCUUUUAAGUGAAUAAAUAAUUAUAAUGAAAUGUUGUUUUUUGGAGUAGGUUUCGUCGUCGUCUCAAUAUAUCAUAGAGCAUUUCGCGGCGGCAACGGGGUGUCGGAAGUUGAGGGGGAGAGUGAAGAACAUAUUUGCGACGGGGAAAAUAACGAUGGGAAUGGCGGAGGAGGUCAGCUCCGGCGUCGGCGGCGGAGGAGGAGGAGGAGGACCCACAGGCGGUGUAACACAAAAAAGGUUGUUUUGUGAUGUGGCAAAUGAUUCCGAAUAAGUGGCUGAUAGAGCUGUCUGUGGGAGGCCACAGCAUAGUGGCCGGCAGCGAUGGCAACGUCGCUUGGAGGCACACACCUUGGCUUGGCUCUCACGCCGCUAAGGGCGCCGUUCGCCCUCUCCGCCGUGCUUUUCAGGCAAGUCUCCAAUAUCCAGUAUUAUUCAUUUUUCUCUAUUUUAUCAAAAUUUGGGAUCUUCUUUUGACGAGGAAGAAAUUCGAUCACUCUUUUAUAAUUACAUUUCAAAAUUAUUUUCAAGAUACAAUUAAAAUUUAAAAGCUUGAAAAAGUAGUUUCUAAAACUUUUUAUAAUAAAAAAAACAUUAGUUAAUAAUUCAAAUGUCUUUGUAAGAAUGGUGAGACAAUUAUUAUAGAAAUGGAGAAUACGUGUGAUUCAUUUCAAAUUUAAAGAAACAAUAAUGAUUAACCUUUUUUUGUUACUUUGAUUUAAAAAAAGUUUGAUUUGUGAAAUGAAUGAAAAAUAUUUGGAUGUGUGUAAUCAAAAUUGGCCGAAUGACAAAUUUUUGAAAAAGAUUGUAAUUGAAGGAAAUGCGUAGAAAAACCGAUACAGGUUAUAGUUGCAUCCAAUUAUUGCAUGUAAUGUAUUUCAUGGACUUCGAAAAAGUAGAGUUUCAACAAGUUAGGAUGUAUAUUCUCAAUUAGUUCUGUUACUAUUUGUUUCUCUACAUGUGGAGUUUGGGAAGAAUACUUCAUAAUAGAUAUAGCCCCCACCCCCCCACUAAUAUUUUAGAGAGGCUUCACUUAUCAUCUCUAGACCCUACCAUUUUUGAGACCUAAAAAAAUGUCUUCAAUUUUCUUUCUUUCUUUCUUUCUUUUCUGAUAAACUAAGUCUUUAUCACUAGGACCAUCCCUUAGGAAAUUGUGAUAUUAAUUUAACCAAGAAGAAGAAGAAGAAGAUGAUGAUGAUGAUUUAUUAGCCUUCUUUGCAAAUUGUUGAUUAUUUUUACAAAUGCUCGUGCCUUUUAAAUUUAUUAUUUCACAAAUUUCCAUUCUUAAAUAAUUGCAAAAUAUUAAUGAUUGUAAUUUAAAUAAUAAUUAGUAAAGCCCCUUAUUUGUAGUUCACUAAAAUAAUUUGAACACUCCAAAAUAGUCCUAUCCAAAUUAUUGUUGAAAUUCAUGAGAAAAGAAAAAUAAAUUUAAUUAUUAUUUCUAUUUUUUAUGAAAAUGAUAUUUAAAUCAAUGGAUUAGUCUAAAGCCAACUAAGCAAACUUGAUUGAUUGAAAUAAUUAAAAAAUUUCUCUGGGUCAAUAAUAAUAAAUUAAGUCGAAGCAAAUUAUAAAGUCAGAAUGUUGUUUCUUAUAAUUAAGAGAAAGAAAAUCAAUGUGGGAAGAUGUUGACUUUGAGUUAUAAGAACUUUAUGCAUAAUUUGUUUUUAAUAUAGGGAUUGGAUCCUCUAGCAAUUUCAGAAGUAUUCUCUCCAGCUCAGUACAUGGGAGAGAAACAAAUCAUGGCCAUUGAUUGUUUCGUAUUGAAAUUAUCAGCCGACCAAACUGAUCUUGCUGAUCGAAGCGACAACACAGCUGAGAUGAUCAAGCAUGCAAUCUACGGUUACUUUUGUCAAAGACGUGGACUUUUGGUCUACUUAGAGGACUCCUCAUUGACUCGAAUUCAAUCUCCUGGUUCUCACCCCAUGUACUGGGAAACAACCAUGUCAACAAAAAUCGACGAUUAUCGAACAAUUGACGGUGUUAUGAUUGCCCACUCUGGUGAGACCGAUGUCAUCAUCACACGCUUUGGAGAUGAUCUUAAAACCGGCCCUAUGAUCACGCGAUUGCAAGAGAUUUGGAGUAUUGAUGACGUGGCGUUUAAUGUUCCAGGAUUGUCUAUGGAUAGUUUUAUCCCACCUAAACAAGUUCAAAAGAAUUGAGCAAGUAGUGAAUCGUAAUCGGUUGUCAUCGCUCGAUAGAUCAACAGUUGUGAUUUGAUAGAUGAAAGUUUAGGUUGAAUGAGUUCAAUCCAUGAUUAAAUGUAAGUCUGCAUGAUCCAAAAGGUUAAAAAUAAUAUAAGAUGACAUAUAUGUUAAUAGUUUAAUGUUUUCCUUUUCUUAAAAAAAAAGAGAGAGACAGAGUAGAGAAGAAAAAAAGAAAGGAAAAUUGCCUCCAUAAAUGUUUAAAAAGUUUUAAAUCUCUUGUUGGUGGGAUGCUGUUAAAUUGUAAUUUUUACCCACUCACGGUAAAUUUCUAAAAUGCUAGAACAUUUGAGGUUAAAUACAACAUUGUAAGUAAUAAUUAAAAAGUUAAGUGAUGAAUAUUAUUUGAAUGGGUAAAAAAUAAAACUUGGAAUUAUUAUGAAAUAAAGUUGAGUGAUGGAGACAUAGCCUAAUAAAAUAGACUAUCGAAGGGCAAUCUUUGCCGGAUCUAUGUCUUUGAGACAAUGUGAUAUGUCUAAUCCAAUUAUUAAUUUUCAUAAUAAAAGAACCUUAUCAUACCUUUAGGAUUGUAAUAAAUCUAAGUUUGCAAAUAUUAACAACAAUAUUGAUUCUCAUUCAAAAAAUUUAUUCUAACAUUCUCAUUCAAAAAAUUUAUUCCAACGUUCUACAUUCGAUAAAUUUAUAAAAUUUGAAAUUAUAAAUUACAAGUGUAUAUAAUAUUUUUGAAAAACUACAAAUAUAGUAAAAUCUGUCAAAGUAUAUCAAUGAUGGAAGUUUGUAACAGUCCUCAACUUUGCUAUAUUUGUAAUUUCUUUUAAAUAUUGCUACUUAACAUAUUUUUGGAAUAGUUGCAAAUUUAGUAAUUAAAUUCAAAAUAAUUAAGUAUAUAGUAACAUUUUUUAAAAAAAUUGCAAAUAUAGCAAAAUUUGUCAAAAUCUAUCAAUGAUUAGAGUUUAUCAUAGAUCAUGUUGUAAAAAUUGGUCUAUCAUCGAUAGAUCAUACGAGUCUAUCGGUGAUACAAGUUUAUCAACGAUAGUUUUGCUAUAUUUACAAUUUUUUUUAAAUGUUGCUAUAUUUUCAAUUUUUUUUAAAUGUUGUUGUAUUCUUAAUUAUUAUUCGUGAAAUGGGUACUGAUUUACUAAAGUUGGACUAUUUAUUGGACCGGCCCAGUGCAAUAUCAAACCGUGAGCCCAAGUAAGCCCAAAUUCAACUAUUUCGUCUCUAAUCUCUCCAAUGGAGUACACCGUAGACAGAGAAAUGGCGUCGUGUUCCUUGGUGCGUUUUGGCCGUUGGAUUUCCCGGUUCAAAUUCCCGUACACUCUCAGGCCAAGCCAUUUUCCUCUCCGUCACCUUUCUCCUCCUCCGCCGGACUCCGCGAUGCCGAUUCUGCCGCUCCUGGCGGUCCGCCACCUAUACGAGUCUCGCUCACCGAUUCAGCCGGUCGAGGUGUUUUCGCCACUCGAAAGAUCGGCGCCGGAGAACUCAUACACACAGCCAAACCACUCGUUGCACAUCCUUCACUAUCUUCUAUCCACCAUGUGUGCAAUUUCUGCCUGCAGAAGCUGCAGAGAUAUGCUAACGUCGACUCCGAUGCUCGUCGUGCAUCAUUCUGCAGUGAAGAGUGUGAGCAACAUUCCAAGGUAUCAGUACAAUUAUAUUCUCUCACUGUUUUAAUUAGGUUAAUCUGUUUUAAAUUUUGUUUGAUUCUUGAUCUGUUUUGCGUUAAUUUUAUUUUGUGAAACCACAAGCCGUUCUUACACGAAUUCGUUUUCACCUGCCUCUUGUGUUGUACGAAUUGUCUGCACGAAUUCUUCGAUUAAAUCGUAUUUAUGAACUUAUUUAAGACUCAAUUGAGUAUUAUUCUCUCUCUGCUGCCUUAUUCGACGUUCGUUCAGAAGUUUGUCCUAUGUCCGCCAUGUGUUUGUAGUUUUGGUUCUGAAAGUGAUACCAUUUAUCAAAUUGUCAUUUCGCUUAGAUGCAUUUGAAAAACUUCUAUGAAUAUCGAAAUAAGCAAGUUCUUACAGUAGAAAUUUAAAAAGUUCAAGGUAGAACUUGAUUUUUUCAAGUGGUUAUUUCCUUUGGAUCCGAAGCCAAAGAGAUGCAUUUGGAUUUUGGGAGUCUUAGAACUGAAAAUUUAGCAGUUGGAGAGUUGUUUAUCAUCUUUGUCUUUUAUCUGCACUGUACAUGGAGAGAAGAACAGCACCCGUAUUUUUCCUGUCUAGGCGUGGGUUGGUUAAGUUUCAUUAUGUAUAUGGUUUUUUCUCUUAGGUUUUCCACGAUGUUGAAAUGGAAGCGGAUUGGUCAGACUACGACAAUUAUUGCAGGUGCAUUAAAUUUUCCAUUAUUUAGGUCACCAAUUAAUUUUAUGUUUCCUACUGUACAUAUAUGCAUUCGAGAAUUGAUGAUUUAUUGGAGUCAGUACAGUUAUGACUGCAAUUUAGAGUAUCUGAAGAGAAAGCAAAAGAUUUUCUUGUCUUUAAGGCUUAAUGAUGUGAUUGAUUUGUGAUAUAUGGGCCAGCCCCAUUGUGGUUCACUAACCAAGCCAUCGACAAAAUCUCUUUGGUAUUUAGUUUUAUAGGCUUCACUUUCCAGCUCUAGUGUUUAGUUGUCUGUUUUCCUUUUUUCCCCCUCUUGGGUAAUUUUCUUCUGUCUUCUAUUCUGUAUUUUCCCAUGGAUAAGAACUGCUGCGUUAAGAACAAAUCUUAGUUUAAUGGCUGAAAAUAAGCAAUGUCGUUGGGAAAUGAUUAUUUCUGAAGGGAACUCAAUUCUUCGUUGUCAAUCUACUGUCAUUAGUAUUUUUUGGUGCCUUCAUGGAAUAACUUUGUCAUCAGUGUUUUUCUUUAUCCCAUUUUUUCUCCUCUCUUUUAACCUUAUUCAAGAUUUUUAGGCAAUAGAACACCUUAUAUAAAGUGAUAACUUUUUUAAUCUACGAAGAUAAUUUAGCAUGCAAGGGUAGAAACCUGAACAAAAUAGUCCAUAUACUGAUAAACACGCACAUGGCUUUCAAUGUGCCUUCUAUACGAAUGACUGGUUGGUAACUUUGUAGUGGUACAACUAACAUGUCAAAAAUGUGUGUUUAUGGCCUUGUCAAGGGAGCGAGGGUUCAAAUAUCCUCUUUUGGUGAAGCGAUUGGCUUGUAUGGUUAUAUCUGGAGCUAUGUCUUCUGACCACCUUGACAUACUUCAACCUUCUCGUUUGUCUACUGAUAUAGUUUUGGAGGUAAGAUACUCCACAUGUUUCAUAUGAUUGAUUACUUAUUGGUCCGUAUCCAGCAGACAGCUCAAUAAUUUGCUGAUAUUACAUUUAGGUUUAGUUUGAAUUGGUCUUAGUCGGUGUACUCUAUCCUAUUUCCUUGGAUGUGUUAUUGUUUUAGUUCAUUGAAAUUUUGAUUUAAAUUAUCAAUUCCUGAUAUUCUUUUGUAAGCUCGAUUUUGGAGAACAAGUUAAUCUUUCAUUGAAUGUUAAGUACGCAUAUAUUCUCUUGGAGUUGGAAGGAAGGCUGCAAAAUACCAAGUACACCAAAAAUAGUCUUGAAACAAGUUUGAUCAGAACUAAAGCACAGAGACGCCAAUUACAAUUGCCUUCAAGCAUAAGUAAUAGAAAGAAUAAAAAUCUUUCUUCCACAGUGAAAUAGUGGUGCCCAAAUUGAAGCAUUAAGCUAAACCCAACCUCUCGAAUUAUUGCAAAUUUAUUUUCAAGCAAGUUUCGUUUCAUUCCAACCAAUUGUGUCAGAAAGAUGGCCGCUGACUAGCACUCCACAUGUCAUAAAUGACAAGGAUGAUGAAUCUCCUCUAAAUACCUCCACCAAUAGUAUGAUAUUGUCCACUUCAAACCUAAAUCCUCGUGAUUUAGCUUUUAGUUUUGUCUUAAAGACCUUAUACCCUUAGAGAUAGUUGUCCUUAAUUUGCAUUCCCAACAGUAGUGUUGUUCUUCUUUUUUUUCUAUUCUUUUUUUCUUCUAUUUCCAUUUCAUUGAAAAUCUGGCUUUUAGCUUAAAUAAAAUGUAGGUGUAUGUAUUUGUUUGAAUUGUCUAGGUACUAAGUGAAUAUAGUUUUAUUCAUCUGAAAACUUCAGUUAGAAGAAGGAUACAGCUUGCUGAGAAAAGCCUUGAUCAACGCAAACAUCACAGAUGAACGGAUGCUUUGUAUCCUACUAUAUAUGCUGGCAAAGAUUUGUAACAAUAUUUCAUGUCAUGCUAUUCUUUCCUCAUUGUUGUUGACUUACAUAUAUUCCAAGUUUUAACUCAAGAAUGGUAUACUGGAGUUCUCGCACGAAUUCGUAUCAAUGCCUUCCGAAUUGAAUUGGCUGGAGGGUAUGAAGAUCUUCAUUCUCUUGCAGCAGCCUGUGUCGAAGCUGAAGCUGCUGUCGGGAAUGCUGUUUACAUGUUGCCAUCUUUCUAUAAUCAUGACUGUGGUCAGUGCUACCUCGUUCCUUUUUCCCAAGCAUCUCUUUUUAUUGAAACAUAAAACAUGUUGAAUAGGAACUGUUGACAUAACUGCCACAGAGUUCUCCGCUUGCACUUGUGACUGCAGUUCCACGUCAGGGAAGAUACAAAAUUAUGUAACAGGACAUAGGGAAUUGAAGCAAAAGAGAGAAGAAAAUCCGACUAGCUAAAGCUUUAGUGCUAAUGUCAUGAGGCUGUGUUUGUUGCAGAUCCAAAUACACACAUUAUAUGGAUAAAUAAUGCAAAUGCAAAAUUGAAGGCCCUCCGUGAUGUUGAUCCUGGUAAGUUUCUUUUGUGUUUCGUUAUAGGUUCAAGGGAUGUAUACAUAAAAUCAACAUAGGAUUUUAACAAUUACAAGAAUCCAACUUGUUUACAGAAAUCCUGGUAAUUAUGCUUUUUGUUUAGAGAACUUAUAACUACAACAAUUGUUACUGAAAUGACAGAUGAAGAGCUCCGUAUUUGCUACAUUGAUGCAAGUAUGGACUACGACGCUCGUCAAACUCUUCUGCACCGAGGGUUUGGUUUUAUUUGCAAAUGUGCACGAUGUUCAUAUGGUGAUUAAGGGGAGUUUAAUUAUUGGUACAUCAAAAAAUUUUCAUAUAUAGAAUGCUCAUCUAAAACAAAAUUGUUGACUUUGCUUCACUUCUUAACUAGGUAUUAAUCCCAUAUGGUUGUAGAUGUGGCCCUAAAUCAACCUUAUUUGUGAUUCUAUUAUGGCUUGGCUUCUCCUGAUGGCCUAUGGGAAAGAAGAAUAGGACCAAAGGCUCCAAUAUCUGAAAUUUGUGAACAUUUUUGGGAUAUGAAUAGAGAACAGAGGGAGAAAUGUUAUCCUUUCCAAUAAUUCUCAUUAGGUGUGUUGUUCUAUGACUGCUAAUUUAUGUUAGUUUUCUAUGACAUACAAUAAUGGGAAGUUCAAAAUUCAACCGUGCAGGUUUCGAAGUGUUUUCAAAUUAGUGCCAUUAGCAAGAAUACUAUUAUUUGAUGCAUUGUAGUAAGUUUAACGUUUAGUUUAUGGUAUGUUUGAGAUUGUCCAAUAUGGUUAAAAUUGCUUUUCAUUUCGAUCAUAAAAGUGCGUUUAGAAUUUUAAUUUUUUAAUAUUAAGUUAGAUUUAAAUGGUUAAAUUGCUUUUCUCGGAUUCAAAAGUGAUUUUAAGAUGUUAAAAUCACUUUCUGGCAUUUGAGCCUCAAGUUUAAAAACAAAUACUUCAGUCCUUGAAAAUUGUAAAAUAGUUACAAAUUUUCUUUGAAAUGAUUUUGAAUUCAAAAUUGAAAAUUUCAAGAACAAACGUCCAUUUUACCUAAUUUUGUUUGAUCCAAAAUUUCAUUCCCAUUGGCGAUAACUAAAAUUGAAGGCGAUUUAGUGACGCUUAUUGCUACCACCAUUUCGUCUAUUCACAUUACUUUGUUACUUUUCUAAUUAUUCCUCGAUUAGUUAAAACUCUAUUUUAUUUAUUAUUGACUCGUAUCUCAUUUUUUUACCUUACAAAAAAUAGUCUUAAGGUUAUAUACUUUCAUUAGAUGUCAUUUUUUUUUAUAAAAUUAAAAAUCCUACUCAAUUCAUAAUAUAUUAUUAGUUCGCUAAAAUCAUUUAAGUAGAGAUACCAUUAAAAAAAACCUAUUAUCGGCUGUUGUAAUAAAUCCAUACUUAGAAUUGGGUUAAAGUGUUCAGUUAGGAAAGAUUAAACAAUAAAGUAUGUGUGUACAUAUUAAAAAAAAAACCACAGUUUUAAAAGCAAGAGAUGAGUGGUAAUCAAAGGAGAUACUUUUAUAUUGAACAGUAAAGCCAUUUAUCAUCAAACUUAACCACACACCACUCAUUCUCUGCGUGCAUCUCAAAACCCUACGUUCCUUCAAUUUCCCACCCUUACCAUAAAAAAAGAAAAAAAAAAGAAAGAAAAUAGCAAAGUAAAAUAGCCGUUAAGGCACCAUCUCUCCCUUAGAAAGAUCACUAGAGAGAGGAGCAAACAUUGAUUUGUGGAUUAGCUAAGCGAGUUUAUGAGAUUGGUAUAGAUUUUGAGAGAGAGAAAGAAAGAAAGAAAGAAAGAAGAAAGAGGUGUGUGUGAUUGAGGAAAGCAAUGGGAUAUAAUUUGAAGGCAUUGAAAGAUUAAAAAACUUUUACUAUGAGAUGAAGAAGGAAGGUACCAGAGAAAUACAAAAGCAGAUCUCAUCAUAGUGUGAGGGAAUGAUCGAUCUCUCUCUCACCUGCGUGGAGAUAACAAUUGAUCCAAACACCAUUCUUAAUAUUCUUUUUUUUUACCAUCCCUUUUUCUUUCCCUUUCUUUGCUGCUUUCAUGCUUUUCUUCCACACACACACCUGAACAACUACACACACACAAACACAAUUAAAAUUCAACUUUUGGAAUAAUCAUUUUUCCAUGCAACCCAAAUCAUGCAUAAGAGUUAGUUACCUACACUAUUUUGGUUAACGUCUAGGCCGAGAUUUGCACCGGAACUCGGCAAGAAGUGCUAUAUGAUCGGAGGACCACACUGGAGAUGGAAGGGCUGUAUCUUUCCUCAAGCUCUCCUCAUCCAACAGCUCUAACAAAGACUCCACUGUUAAAGUGUCCGCUGGUGAAGAAACAAAUUUAUUUAGAAAUGAGAAAAAAAGAACAUUCCAGUUUGAUAAAAUGAACAGCAGCCGGAAGGAUGAGCAUACCUGUGUAGAAAAUGUAGUCCAGAGUUCCGAUAAAAUCUCUAGUACAAUUUGUAAAUAAGGGUUCAUUUGUUGUAGGAUCCAGUCUUUUCCUCUGCUUAUCUAAACCGAUGCCAACUCCCUUUAUUGCAAAGGAGGAGUAAGCACUAACCUGUGGAGAAAUCAUGGUUCCAAUAUAAAACAACAGGGAAGAUAACUUCAGUGCUGGUUUAGAUACAUUGACACUGUUGAUAGAAGAAUUACCAGAGGUAGCUGAUGUGACAAUUUGCUAUGUGGUUGACAUAGAUUCAGAGGAUCUACAACUAAAUCCGGAUGUGUUGGUUCUACCUUCCCCCUAGCAAGAAGAUGAUGUGGAGCACUGCAACAAAGUUCAAUGACUAAGAUAAUUAGUUGAACAUAUCCCUUUUUUUCCUUUUAUCCCAAAUAAUAAUAAUAAUAGUAAUGAUAAUAAUUGCACAGAUCUUUGACACAAUUGUAUGAACUUAUUUGUCAGUAACAACGAAGAAAACAAACCUUCCAGGAACAGAAUUAAAAUCCCCACAGACCAGCAUUGGAAUAUCUGCACUCACGGCUAUUUUCUCCAGUCCUUUCAAUAGAGUAUGCACCUAGUUUCAAGAAUGUUAAACAAGACUUAGAUUCAUAUUCAAGGGAGAAACCCGAAGGAAAACAUGAUACGGUAUACAACAUAAAUAAAAUUACCUGCCAGAGCUUGACAUCUUUUAACUCUUGGUUCCCAUUAAUAUGCGUAUUAGCCUGAUAGGAAGUUAAUAAUAAAAUAUAUAAGCACGGGAGAAGAGAUAGGAAAUUGCAAGCUUGGCUCCCCCAAAGAAAGGCCAGCAGAAAAUUACACAAGAAACCAAAAAAUUCAAAUCUAUUAAUACUGUUUGUAGAAAAGCAUAUCAAACAGCAAGAUUGAAAUUAACAGAACACAGGUGUCCAGAGACAAUCAAAACCCACGUAUUAUCUAAAAGAGAACCUCUGGGGAGAAAAUAGGCUUAAAUAAUAAUAAAAAUUAAGGAGCCUCAUCAAAUUAUUAACAAACAAUUAUAUUAGAAGCAACAAAAGCAAACCAUAGAGACAUUGCCAAAUAGACAAGAAUUCAAGAAUUCUUACACACAAACAAGCUGCCUCUUUCCUGGAUUGUCAACUGUUGGUGUGCUGAAUUUUGAUUCAAGAACUACGAUAAGUGCAACAUCAUCCUAACAACCGGUGCAGUAAAAAAUAAUGCGUUAGUUCACAACACCCUGUGCAAUCAAAAUGCCUGGACUAGAGGGAAAAGAAGCACUAGAAAAUCACCUUGAUUAAUCUGUUUAAAGCAUUUCUCUUUUGAACAGUUAGAAUAGUCGCUGGAUCAGUUAAAGAUUGUGCAGCUUUGUUAAACUCAACCUGCAAACAUGCCAGAAAACAGUGAGGAUGCAGCAAUAUCGCAUUACAAAGAAAAACACUUUCUCAAACACUUCUCAACCUCAUAUUUUUUGACAUGUGCAAAUCUAUCUCUACGGAAAAAUGUUGCACAGCCAUCAAUAGUUUGAAUAUUCCCAUUGUAGAUCUGAAAAAAGACAAAUACAGCGGAUGAGAAAACAGAUAGACCUCAAAUCUAUUUGUAUAUAAAGAGUAUACUGCAAACGGUAAAUGUGAAAUAAACCUCGUUGGUUUUUCUCUUAUAAAGUGCCUGAUAACCAUGUUUGUCAAGUUCAGGAGCAAAAAAUUCCACAAAGUGAUCGCUCUGAACCUGUUUACAGACGGUGAACAAUGCAUAGUUCAAACACAACAUUCAAUAUUUGACCAGAAAAUAAAAAUAAAAUAAUAUUAAUAUCAACAUUAAAAAAAUUAUCAAAAUUUUCAGAAUGGUGUCAGUUGUCACAUUCUCAACCUUACAAAGGUACCCACUUCCAAAAGAAUGAACAAGAAAAACUAGUUUCCUUGGACCCAUCUUUUACAAAUCUCAGUAUUUUGGGGACUACACAUCCUAUUGUGUUGAAACGAGAAAUAAGAUUGGAUGUUUUGAAGCGAAAAAUACUUGAUUGCUAUCUUUCUGAUUUUUUGUGAACUGAACUUUUCUUUAAAAAUAUAAAGAAAAGUAUAGCACAAAAAGAUGAAGCCCAUAAAAUAUUCUGAAUAAAUAAAAUGCUUAGAGAACAUCAAUUGCAAUUGCAACAAAACAAACUUCUAGAAUCCCAACAUGCCACUGAUGCUAUAGUAGCCAAAAUUUUAUUUAUUCACAGACAUGAAGACAGUGAUAUUUACCUCCUGAAGACAAAUUAUAUCUGCACGAUAACCAACUAUUUCUCGAAGUAGAUUUUGCCGGCGAUAUGGCCAUGAAAGAGCCCAUGAAGGGCAAUAACUGAACGUUUCAUUUGUGGCAUAUACAUCAGCCAAAAUAUUGUAGGAAAGCACAGUAAACGUUCCUGACGAUGAUACUCGACCAUCCAAAUCCAGCUUUCCCAUCACAUCUACCCCAUUAACUGGUAUUACUCGACGUGGACUAGGGGAUGGAGCUGGAAUGACCCUAGAAGUUAAUACAGUAAGUGGAGAUGCCACAGGUAACAUCGUUUCCACAUCCACAACAGCACAUUCAAACUUGAGGACCUGGCCAAUAUCUUCAGCGGUUGGUGUGUAACUCUUAUAGCGUCCUACUUCUAACCAAGUUUCCACUCCCGUCUUUUGUGUAACAGCUGCUGAAUUGUUGUUGUUAUUGUUAUUAUUAUAACGUCCAAAUAACUCUUCCUCUUCAUUACCAUUUUCGUUCAUAGCACUUGCAGCACGGUCAUGUAGGACACGAUGAUGCUGCCAAGAAUCUGAGAAGCAUUUGGUGGUGCAAUGAUAACUUUUAAAAGCAGGGAUUUUGGCUUUAACACAACCUAAACAUUGUAAAGUGGCUGCCUCAGAAGGAUGCACACUACAAACAGCAAUUUUUUUAUCACUUUGUAAGCGGUACCUGAAAAGAAUUUAUUGUUUAAAGUUCAAUAUCAGCAGAGCAUCAUUUCAACAAAAUGAUAGAUGUCAGACCAUACAAAUUCCUAAUUCUUAUGGAGAGAAAAAGAAAAUAGAUCUUGAAGAAAAGCUAAAUUAUUAGAUUGAAAAAAUGAGCUCCAUCAAUGAAACUAUUUCCAAUAGAGAGAUAAAAAAAGAUAUUAUUAAGAAAAUGCCCAAGUGGUAUAACAUUUAAGGGCCACAUUCUGCCUUUGCAGCACUAGGAUUUCAUCACCACAAUUCAAUUCAUCAUCAAUUUUCAUCAAUAUGUAGAAACAUUAGAAAUUUAGGGGGCGUUAAAUCCAUACACAAUCCAGAAAUACAUCUUUCAAUUUCACAUGAAAUGGAAUCCUGACUUGAAAUAACUUAAAAGUUGGUGUAAACCACCAUAAAACAGUUUAUUCCAGAGUGAGAAAUGUUUAAAUCAUCAAAAUUAGAAGAGAGCCUUCAAAAGAGAAAUCCCCAACAAAAAGCUGAACAAAUUUCAGUAGCCUAAUUAAAUCAUAACCACCAGCAAUUUAAAGAGUAUGCCAAGAAAUUCAGUAGGGUGUAGUCAGUACACCUUACUUGCAGCGCAUCUUGGCCUAAAGAAACACACACAUUAGAAUAAAUACACACACAAGAGUGAUGUUGAGAAAAAAGGCUUCAUUUUCAAGUUACCAUUUCUUUAAUUCCUUAUGGUCUCAUCAGUCAUCAUCCAUUCAUAUACUAUAAUUCUGCUUUUUUUAAAAUCCGUACUUACUAAAAAACAUCACUUUUCUGUGUUUUGCACUUUUGCCUCAAAAUAAUAUUGUGCAACAUCGAUCCCCACAAGAGAACAUAUGCAGGCUACUAAGAGCAUAAUUGACAAAAACACAUUGAUUUUAAGGUUUUAGUCCGUCUUAGGUUCAAAUCUCUCAAGCUCACCUUCAUAUGGGAAAACAUAGAAGAAGAGGAAGAAGAAAACAAUAUUGUUUUGAGGAAAGGAAAAUGGGAUUCAUAUAUUAUCCAGAAUUAUCUUCUUUUUUACAAUUAUUCAUUUACAAAUCCACUGCACAGCCUAACAUUUGAACUUGUAGUCUCUUCUGAUCCAAUCAAUUCUUCAUUCGAGUAUUAAUGUAAGCAGGUAUUUAUUGAAAUUUUAAAAUCCACAAGACUCCACUAUGAAAAAGAAACUGCUAUAUUUCAGCUUCAAGGCCUGCUCAAAGCAAGGAAAUUCCACAUAACUGAAGCCUCCUGUCCCUCCAGACCUAGAUUAUUCCCUCUACCUUCCCUUUCCCGACAACUCUUUUUUAUCCAUCAAAUAAGAGAUAUACUUUCUAUGUGGGAAUUCCAUCCCUGUAUGGACAAAAGUUCAACAAAUUUUUUAUGGAAAAAGAUUGAUUUAUGUCCCUUAAAUUUUAAGGUUUUUUUUUAAUUUUCGCUUUUCAAAAUAGAUAAGAAUUGAAACUACACUCGGAGAGUGUUUGGGCCACCAACUUGAAGUCGAAGUUGGGUUGGGUUAUUAUAACUUACCCCAUUUAUAACCUACCAAGUAUCAUAAAUAUUAUUUUAAAACUCUCUUUGAUCCCAUUUACUACUUUCUUGUAAUAUUUCUACUUAUCCUCUCCCUCCUCUUUGUUAGAGUGUUUGAACCCCAAACACAUCCACAUGUUAUUAUAACUCAUAUUUACUCGUAAGUCAUAACCAACUGAGAGAAUAGUUAAAUUCUAUAUCUGCAACACGCCCUCUUCACUAGCUUUCCAAACGACUAAAAAACAAAUAAUAAAAGGGCAGCAACGCCUUUGGACAUGUAUAAAAAUACUGACGUAGUACAAUACAACCAUUGGCAUCUUUAUAUAAUCAAGCAAGCUGACAAUUACAUUAUAUUAUUUGCUACAUUCAUAAAUCGUAAUCAUGGUCAUUUUUCCUAGUAGUAGGAAUAUAGAAGAGAUAACAGCUAAAAACGCGUUUAGAAAUUAAUCUCACCAUAUAAAAGUCAAAAAACAUACAGUCAUUUUGAUACAAACUGUCUCAAGAGUAGCACCAAAACAAUUCCAAGUUCCAAGAUAAAGAAGAAACCACUAAACCCCAAACAUAUCCAAUUGAGGUACAACGACCAACAGUCAAGACACUGUAGAGUAGUAAACAACCAAUAGACAAUAAUAUCACAAAAGGAGAUGAGAACCAAUUCAAAUUCCGCAAUGAUCGCUUGGAGCUUACCAUCUGUAUCUCAGAAAUUGACCAUCAAGAGGAGCGGACUCAGAUACAUCGUCAGUACUGAUAUUCUUAUCGGGGCGGCGAUGGAGAACGUAGGGCGUAAGUUCGCAGCCUACAAUAGGAAUAUCAGAAGGCAGGUGCACGCGUACCACGCUCAGCAUACUUUACUCUCGUCAAUCGACACAACGCGGCAUAGAAGAUAAAACGAAAACACUCGAAGCUUCACGAAAAGCAGAAAAGGCAUCAAGAAAGCGGAUUCCCGGCGGAUCCGCCAUUUAGAAGAAGACGAAAACCGCCAGAGUUGAAGGAGAAGAGGAGGACUCAGGUGCGGAUCUUGAGAGGAGGAAGUAUGGAAAUGGAAUCGGGAAUUUGAAGAGAAGAUUUGGAGAAAAAGGGAGGAAGAAUGAGAUGGAUGAUUAGGGUUUUAGAGAAGAAGAAGAAGAAGUGAGAGUGGAAUUGAAAUUUUUUGUUGAUGUGUUUGUUGCGAUUUUAAUGCCUUUUCUUUUAGAGAGAAGAGAGAGCUGGGAAGUGGAGGGGCGUGAAGAAAGGGAGGGAUUGUUAGGGGGUUUAUAUACUAUGACUUCUUCUUCUUCUUCUUCUUUCUUUCUUUCUAUUUUAUUUAUCAUUUCUUUGCUAUAUCAUAUAUUAUUAUGCGACGUUUUGGGUAAUAUGCUAAUUCCUUUUCUUUUAGACUACUCUGUGACUAAUAAAAAGUUUCUUACUACCAAAAUCAAUUACCCGGGUUGGGUUGGUUUUAUUUUUGGGUUCGAUUGAGUUUUAAAAUCUUUAUAUUUUUUUGGAUUGGGGUUGAAUUAAAGCUUUAAAAGUCUGGUUCCAAUUUGUAAUAUUAUUGAAAUAUAUGUUUUUAUAUUAUAAUUAUAAAUUAUGAGUAUUAAAAUUCAUGUAUAUUUUUAUGGUUUUUUUUUAAGUUUACGAUUAAUAUCUUAGAUUUUAAUCAAACUUCAGUUAUUAUUGCGUGUGUAAAUAAAUUUAAGAAUUUUAAGUUAAUAGAAUUUACUAAGAAGGAAAAGAAAAAUAAAAAUAAGCAACCUCACAACCAAAGAGACCUUGUUAGACCCGACUUGUGGAAAUAUAGAUAGGUGAAUAUAAUUAAUGACAUGUGGUUAAAACCUUAUUUAGAUGCAUUGCAUUCUUGAUAGCAAACUUUACUUUUGAUUAGGAAGUGUUUGAUUUGACAUUCUUUCUCAAAAUUCAAAAUUAUUUAUUUAUUUCAAAGUUAUAUUCGGACUUAUUUUAUGAUUUUAUGGCAUUUUGAAAACAAAAUUUGAUAUUUCUUAAAUAUGUUUUGAUUUCUUACGUUCUCCUCUUCUAGCUAGUUUUGAUUUUAGCACGUAUUAGGAACAUAUAUACAUGCAUACCUAUACAAAAGUAAUAUCACUAGUUUUGAUUUUAGCACGUAUUAGGAACAUAUAUACAUGCGUACCUAUACAAAAGUAAUAUCACUAUAAGAUCUUCGUUUAUAAAGUUUUGGAUGAACAAUUUUGUGAAUUGGUUUGGUAGUAUUCUUUUUUAGUUAUAUUGAUAUAGAAAUUGCUCACACACCAACUACCCAAGGGAUACAAUGAGAUUGCAUAGUGUUUUGAAGAAGACAUUGAUAGGAAAAAUAUUUGUCACCCCACCACAUAUAUCAAAAGGCAUGGACAUGAACAACAAAAUGAAUUGCCUACUAUUAAAUGUCCCCCACCUACAUACAAGACAAUUAAAACUUGUGAGAUAUUCAAUUAAUAUCAUUGUCAUGUUCGUGAAAGUUGUCCAAUAUAUACCAAAUCAACAAUAAUUUGAUUACAAGGUGACUCGAUAAAUAACUAAGUGUAGGAGAGUUUGUCCAUGCGUGGUUUGUAAUAUUUAGUCACUAGUCGUUACUUUUAUAAAUGGUUGUAUAAUUAUCAAAUAAAAAACAAUAGAAACUCGUGUAUAUUCACUUUGUCGUGAGAGUUUAUACCAACAAUGAUUUCUCAAAUUUUAACAAUGUUCGUUACAGAUACAAUAAUGUUUUUAAAUCGAUGUAGUUUACUAUUUAGGACGAGAAGAUGUUAUUUCAUCUCUGCCUUUUUUUAGUGUCAUGUACUAUGAACUAGUUAAUCAAGCUAGGGAGAGUGAAUAAGAAGAUUUGAGCUUCUCAUCUUCAACAAAAGCAUGUGACUAAACUUGUCUGACGAGUUCAUGUUUACUAGUAAGAUUGAGGUAGUACUGAUAUCGAGCACAAAUUUAAUCACAUAUGAUAAUUUGGUCCUCUUAAAACUCAUUGAAGAUAGUGGAACCUACCUCAUAAUAGGUAUGAUACUUUGCACUUAUCCAGGUGGACUUUAAAACAUUACACUUCAUUCACACAGAGAACCAUGUUUCUUGAAAUUAAACUCGAGUUUGUGUGAGAUUUACUCUCUAAUACUUGACUUUAACUUGAAGAUCGUAAGGAACUCUUAUAUUUAUAGGUUUUUUAUAGGGUCAUGUGGUUUCAAGCUUAUGUAUAUGAAUCUGACCCUUUUAACUGAAAUAUAAUUUUUAGUUUGGUUGAUAUUUGGCCGAAUCAAGCUUAAAUGUUGACUUUUAAUUGAAUAUAAACCAACUAUGAAACACUAGGGGCCUUUUUGGGAGAACGAAUGAGUUAUGAAAAAAUUAGUGUUAUGAUAAAACUAGUGUUAUGAUAGUAUGUAUUUUGGGAAAUAGUGAUGUGGGAAGAAUUAUGGGGUGAUUAUGAUAAGAUUUUUUGGAGAAGGGUUGUGUAGGUAAUAAUAUGAUUUUUUUUAUACAUUUUUUUUAAUUUGUAUUUUAAAUAUAGUACACAAAUUUUGUAUAUUUAAUUUACGAAAUUGUUCUAUUUUCGUAAAACAUAUUUCAAAAAUUUAUUUAAAUGUGACCAAUUUUCAACAUUUCUUACGUAAUUAUUACAUGCGAAUAAUUUAUUAAUUUUUAUUUUGAAUUAAUAUUAUAACUGCAAUACACAAAUUCUGUAUAUUUAAUUUAUCAAAUCAUAGUAGUUUUAUAUUCAAAAUUUAAUUCAAAUAAAUCUUAAAUAAGAUAUUGCAAUUAAAUUGAUUUAUUUUAAAGAAAAUUAUUGUACAUUAAAGUUUAAAUACUUUUUAAAAUAUUUGUUGUACAUUUAUUUAAGUUAUUCAAUCGUUCAAAAAGUUAUUUAAUCUAACAUUAAAUAGCCUCAUUUGAUUUUUAUUUUUUUUUAUAAAUUUAAUAAAAUUAAUUUAACUUAAAUUUAUCAUUAAUAGUUUAUAUAUGCAUAGGUCAAUUUUCAAAUAAAAUAUUCGAAAAUUUGAAAAUUGAAUAAAAUACAUGAAAUAAUAAUUUUUUAAAAAAUGUUAAAUACGAUGAACAAAUACAUAAAAUAAUCAAAAUUAAUUUCGUAAAUAAAAUAAUUUAAAAACAAUAUUUUUUUUAAGACUAUUGAAUAAAUUAAAAACAAAUGAUACAAUUUUUAAAACAAAUAUAAUAAUAAAACUAUUGGAGAGAGCGAUUGAGUAAAAAUAAAGGUUAUCAUAAGCCUAAAACAAGAGUUAUGACAAUCAUUCUCAAAACAAGUCCGUCCAAAGAUGACACUUCCAGGCCAGGAGGUUGGAUUACCCAAACGAUAACUAUUAAUAAUUAAUAAAAUUAGGAAAGUUCUGGUUUCAUCAUUUAUAUAUAUAUAUAUAUAUAUAUAUAUAUAUUCAAUUUCUAAUUUUUCAAAAAACACAUAUGUUUUUUAAAAAUAUAUUAAACAAAUUAAAAUAAUAUUAAUAAUAAUUGAGAUAAGCUUAUCAAAUUAUAGUUGGAUUGCAAAUUAAAUUUAGAAAACCUAACAUAACCAAAUUAUGAAAAAAAAUUACGUAUAAAGAAAAGUGAAAAAUAAUUGCAUCAUAUUGUUCACACGAGGAAUUGAACUUUGUUAUAUUGAUGAAUAUUGUGAAUACAGUCUCUACUAUUUACUCAUUUGAUAUUUUCUCUCGAAUACAAUUUAAAACUUAGAACUUAUCGAUCUUUGGUAUUCAGGAUGUUGUUGUUGCAAGUCGAUUUGAACUAUUAUGGAAUUCAAUGAAAGUUUAAUUUUCAAAGUCAGUCUUUCAGAAGUUAGAUAUAAGUUGUUAUUCGAACUUGCACGUCUUCAGAACUUUAAUUAUUCAUUCAAAGAAAGACCUACUCAAAUGAAUGACAAAGAUCUCUAUUUAUAGAUAAAUUUUUGGGCUUUAGGUGGGCUUUGGCUUAUUUGCUUGUUGAGCUUUGACUUUAACCAAUUUGUCUGUUGGACUUUAGCUUGAGCCCAUUUGCCUUAUUGGGUUGGAUUUGGGCUUGGACCCAUUUGCUUUAUUGGACUUGAGUCCAUCUGUUUGUUGAGUUUGGACUUGGCUAAUCUGCUUAUUGAACUUGAAUUGAGUUGCAUUGGGUAAACUUAAUUAUCAAAAUCCAAUAAAAUAUAAUUAUGAAAUAUUUGUUGUGAUGAUGUGGCAGAAUUUAAUUGGCCGAAAUUUAUUGCUCAACACCUACCAAAAAAUGGAUAGCUACACUUUUAGUUAUCCAUUUUGAUUGACUUAAAAUUUUAUUAUUAACGUAAAUAGUUUGAAUUGUCGUGUUUUAAAAAAUUAAAUUGUUUUAUAUCAUUUACAAAAGUUAUUUUUAAUUAUUAGUAUAAAAUUUUAUAUUAUUACAAAAUAUUUAUUUGUAAAAAUUAAAAUCCUAGUCAUUGUAUUGUUUUAAAGAAUAAAACAAUAUAUGUAUGAUAAAAGUAGGACAACAAUCUAUCACUCAAAGAAGUGUGACUUUACUAUAUUUGUGAUUUUUUUUGCUAACAAUUCUAAUUACACUUUUUCUUCUACUAAAACAAUGGGCUUUCUAUUUGGGCUCACUUUAAUUCAGCCCGCUCAUUAAAGAAGCAAAUAAAAAACCUAGCCCUAGUCACUAUACAAAUCCGAAUGAACUAGGGUUUCUUCAUUUUGUGAGCGAGUGUGAGAGAAAGUUCCUCCUGCCCCAAUCAUGCCGGCCGGCCAUGGACUUUGUGAUGGUCGGGCACCCCAAAUCAAUUACACAUUUUUUUAUAAAAAAUAAUCAAUACAUACAAUGGUAUUAUUAACUACUAAUUCUAAUUAAUUUAUAUUUCUUUAAUUGCCUUUAGUAAUUAAAUUAAUGUUUAAUAUAAAAUAUUUUUUUAUUUUAAGUGAUUAAAUAACUAACUAAUAUAGCAAUCUAUUGCAAUAAUACUAAACUUAUUAUACAAUCUCUCAUUUUAAUGUACGUAAAUCUCUCAUUUUAAUGUAUGUAGAAAUGUACGUAUGUAUAUACAUACAUAUACAUGUGUAUAACUUUAAAAGUAAGCAUUAUUGAAGUUUAUUUAAAACUAACGUUGUCAAGUACGAUUGAGUUGAUUAUUUUAACCAACUCAAUCCAGCUCAAGUUGAUAGAUGAAACCAUAGAGAAAAACAUUUUCUAUCGUACGAUGGGUUUUGGAAUAUGAUGAGAGAAAGUUUCAUUCUGUUUUGGACUUUGCUUUAUAUAUAUAAAUUAAAUGUGUGAUUUUCGGGAUGAAUUUUGUAGGUUGGGAACAAAAUUAUUAAAAAAAGAAUUCAUGUGAGAGUUGAGCACGUGCAGCCUUCUCGAUGCACCGAGGAAUUUCGCUUGAGGAAGGUGAAGAAUGACGAGCUGAAGGCUGAAGCCAAGGCCAAAGGCACAGUCAUCUGCACUAAGAGGCAACCGGAAGGCCCCAAACCAGGGUUCAUGGUUGAAGGAGCUUUAAUGGAAACUGUGACUCCCAUUCCCUACAAUGUGGUUAAUGAUCUCAAGGGUGGCUAUUGAAAUUUUAUCCUCUUUGAACUUUUGCCUUGUUUUGUAGUUUCAUUUUUGUUUGAUAUUUGAACUGCUUGAAUAGUACAAUUUUAUCAUAUUAUGCUUCUAAAUUUUGGAUACGAAACUUAUGGAAUUAAAUUGUUUCUUAGUUUCUAGUUUUGGCCAUUAGCAUAAGGAAGUGUAGUUUUAGCUUAUUAAAAGUAAAUUUUGUUGCCUUAGGUUAUUCUUUCCAUUGUUUUCAUAUAUUCAUAUUUCUUAAUCACCAUCUAAUUUCUUUCCAUUGUUUUCACAUAUUCAUAUUUCUUAAUCUGAUUAGCGUUUUUAUUUCAAUAACAAAGGAGAGUUUUCCAAACUUUGAUAUUACCCAUGAUAGAGAAUGUUUUGAGUUGGAAUUAGGGCAAAUUAUAGCCUAAAUUAAAUGUUUACAAACAUUAGUCAUUUUAUCACUAAAAUUUCUUUGGACUUCAUUUGAUAUGUCAAUUUGUUUGGUUUAUGUUUUCAAAUAAUUAUUGACAUGAAAUUAAAGUAUGGAUAUAUAUCAAAAUUACUUACAGUAAAUGAACGAAUCAAGGUUGAUGAGAGUUUUUGCAAUCAUCCUUCAUCAUUUAUGUAUUCUUUCAAUGACUUUGAUUCUGCCACAAUCUAUUUUGUUCUUCUAAUUCUUGAAUAGCUUGUCAAUCUCAUUGGCGUGCAUUUCUCGCUCAUGAGCUAAUGCAGUUGAGGAAGAACUAUCAAUGGCGUGUUAGAACUUUGGCCUUUGAGUAGCCUAGUCGUCUAUCCAAAAUUGGCUUUGCAUAUUCGUGGGUUGGGACUAGAUAACAAGUAUUUGAUUCUGCCAUAAAAUUUAAUUGAAUAAUAAGUAAAUUGUGUGUAAACAAAAUGUAAAAACAAAAUGAAGACAACAAGCAUAGCAGAAAACUUACACGAGCAUCUACUCUCUUACAUCUUCACUCGAUCAGUGAGCGCUACUAUUGUGACUGUAGGGCUGCUUUGCUAUAGUAGCCCUAUUCUUUGAUGAUUGUAGAUGUAAAUAAGAUAAAAAUGGAACAUUAAAGAACAUUAAAAAUAUAAACUUUCGUUUGAGAACAUUUGUAAGUUUUAAGUCAUUUAAAAUUGUCACAUAUCCAACACACGAUUCUUCAAUCGCGGGUGGGUUGGCUUGUGCCUAUUCAGGAUCACUAAACUUUUUUAAAUGACGAGGGUUCUGCCCCUAAACUCUUUUCCCUAAACUCUUUCUAGGUGGUGAGAACCUGAUGCUCAACUAACGGAUUAGGUGUUGGAUAUGUGAAAUCCUCGAAAAAUUGCUACAAAAGGAAAGUAUAUUAAGAUUAUAUAUAUGUACGCGAUAGGUCAUUAACUUAUAUGAACGCUUAAUUUUAAAACUUACUCGUAUAGAGUCCUUCACGAGUUCGAUGUAAUAUGGGGUAACAUCGGUCCACUUAAGAAAGCAAUCAGGAAAAGUGUCUAGCGUUAGCACAACGCGAGCCAAUGGUACAACUGAAGCGAACAGUGUGUGGAAAGAUCAACUUAUCUUCCAGUGUAUGGAAAGAUCAACUUAUCUUGUCUUGGAACGAUCAAUAUGAGGAUCUUCCCAUUUUGUGCAACAUAUCACCACCUCCUCUUCUACACCACCACUAUUUAAUGGCAUGCCAUUCUCAAAACCUUUCUUUGCCGUUUGUUGUUCAUGUUCAAUCGUUGCUUGUAAAUCGUGCAACAUCCCCAACUUUUUCACUGUCUUCAUAAAAUAGAUUACUACUAUUUGAUUAAUGGAAAUGAUCAUUACUAGGUGUUUCAUCUAAUCUUUCUAUACCUUUAUAUAUACAAGUUGACUGAGACUCCAUAAUACACCAAUAUGUGUAGGAGAGGCAUAUUCUAUUCGUUAAUAAAUGUCUGUCCAUACCCUCUAAUUAAAGGCUCUCCAUGCAUGAUGGCGUCAGGAGAAGUUUGCAUCUUUUUUAAAUUUUAAACUUCUCUCAAUGUCGCUAUGCAUGUCAUGGAGAGUUCCCCUUUAAAAUUUCUUUUCUUAUUUUUUUCCUCAGACGUGUCUCUCUCCCUUAAGGUUCACCACCACUUGUUGUCUAUUAUCUGUCGCUUGCUGUCGCAGUCGACACUUGUGAGCUAUCCUUCGUCCCUCGUCGGUAAAUGUUUGUUUCGUUUUUUCUUCGUUUUGGUUUGAGUUUGAGAAAAAAAAAACACUAAAAAGGUAUGUUAUUUUAUUUUAUUGUGAAAGCCUUCUUUUAUAGUGUUCAUCUUUGCCAAUUUUACAUUAUGCAAAAAGAAGGUUUAUGAGAUAUUUUUUUUUAUUUAAUAAUUAUUUUUAAUUAUUAAUUAAGAAAAAAUAGCUAAAUACUCACAUUUGAGUGAAUUGUCAGAGAAUUUAAAUGAAGGUAAGAAUGACAAUCCAAUGAUAAAAUUUAACCUUCCAAAUUUAGUGAGUACUUGAACUUGUCUAACAAUCGUUAAAUUACACUUCUAGAACCUCAAAACUAUUUUGAAAAUUAUCGAAACACUAAUUUUUUUUUAAAAAAAAUGACUUAAUUUUUCUAUCAAAUACUUAAAAAUAUAUUUAAAAGACAGUAUUGUGUUUCAAUUUAAAUUAAAAUUAAACUCUACACCAUGAUAAUAAUUUUUUUGACCAUUUUUAUUUUCUAGAGGAAAAACUACAAAAAUAGUUAUAAAUGUAGCCAUUAGAUUUAAAAUAAUUAAAUUUUUAAUAAUAUAAUUUUUAAAAAUAUAACAUAAUAUGUUAAAUUCGAAAUGAUAGUAAUCAAAUAUUAGUCACUAUAUUUAUGAUUUUUUAAAAAUAUAGUUAUAUGACUAUUCGUAAAUUUGCUAACAGAUUACAUUUUGUGCUUUCUAUCUGGGCCCAGUUUAAUUUAUCCGGCCCAUUAAAGAAGCCAAUAAAAAACCUAGCCCUGGGAAUUAGGGUUUCUUCAUUUUGUGAGAGAGUGUGAGAGAAAGUUCCUGCUCCAAUCAUGCCGGCCGGCCAUGGACUUCGAUCACGUACCAGAGACCUCUUCGCCAGGCCUUUCAGGAAGAAGGGUUACAUUGCUUUGACUACCUACUUGAGGACGUACAAAAUCGGUGAUUAUGUGGAUAUCAAGGUGAACGGCGCCGUCCACAAGGGUAUGCCUCAUAAAUUUUACCAUGGUCGCACAGGUCAGGUAUGGAAUGUCACAAAGCGCGCCAUCGGUGUCGAGAUCAACAAGCAGGUUCGGGAUUCUUUUUUAAAAUCUGUUAUAGUUUUUAGAAUGUAUGUGAAUCUGGUGAUUUAGGGUAAUAGAUCGUGUUUGGUUUUGAUAGAAUCUUAAUUAGUUUUCGGACUCUGUUUUUCUUAUUAAACUUGUGAAUCUUAAUGUAUGUUCUAGUUUGAUGGGUUCUGGAAUCUGCUUUUUUUUUUUUUAAGUAUUAAACUUGUGAUUUUCGGAAUGAAUUUUUUGUAGGUCGGGAACAGAAUUAUUAAGAAAAGAAUUCAUGUGAGAGUGGAGCACAUGCAGCCUUCUCGAUGCACCGAGGAAUUUCGCUUGAGGAAGGUGAAGAAUGACGAGCUGAAGGCUGAAGCCAAGGCCAAAGGCACAGUCAUCUGCACUAAGAGGCAACCGGAAGGCCCCAAACCAGGGUUCAUGGUUGAAGGAGCUCUAAUGGAGACUGUGACUCCCAUUCCAUACGAUGUGGUUAAUGAUCUUAAAGGUGGCUAUUAGAAUUUUCACCUAUCUGAACUUUUGCUUUGCCUUGUUUUGUGAGUCUUAUUUUUGUUUGAUCUUUGCUGCGCAACUGCUCUAAUGGUACUGGCGUAGGUGGAUGGGUCCUUUGUGGUUCGACUUCUAAAGGAAAACAACAAAAGAGUAAUAGGAAAUAUAGUAAAAUUAUUUUUAAAAAGAUAUAGAGUUAUUUGUUCUCACUUUAGAGGUUCUUCAGUUAUUUAUCACUAUUUCAUUAUUAGAGAAGCAAACAAGAAAGACAUUGACUUGGAAACGUAUAAAUCUUUGUUGAAACGUUUGAUUUACUUCAAGAAAUAAAAUAAUAGAAUAGAAUAUCAAUUCAUCUUUUAUGUCAAUGUUAAACUUGGAAAAAAUAUGAAAAUAUGAUAAAAAUAUUGUGAUGUUGAUGGAGAUUUAAUAAUAUGUCACCUAACUCCUUUUGAAAUUCAAGAAGUAAACAAAGACUAAGCGUGAAUUAAAAUUAGGAUAUGCAUUUUUAUCGAUUUUUUUAAAAAUAAUAAGUAAAAUGCUACUUUUUCCAACUACUCUAUGGUAACAUUUAAAACAAUUUUAUGUUUUAAUUUUCAUAAUUAUGAAAGGCAUCAAACAAAUAAUUUAUUUAUCCUUCUUCCAUUGUAUAUUAACCAAUUUAGUCGAUUUGGAUGUAAAUUAUACGUAGGUAGGAUGCUCUAUGUUUCAAAUACUUAGUCUUUUACUCAAUUAUUUAUUAAGAGCAAUAUAUUAAUACAUUAACGAUGAAUUGAAAUGAUAAAUUUAGAAACAUUUUUUUUAAUACAAAUUGGAUCUAAGAUCUAGAACACAAAAUUUCUUGAUCUUCAAUCCACAUAUUGCAAUUGAAUUAAGCUCUUCAAAAUUUAGAAAAUCAUAUAUUUUUAAACCUCUCUUGAGUAAUUCACACUAAGAAAACCACAAAUUUGCAAAGGAGACUUGGAGGGAUUCCAAUAGUUUAUAACAAACUUUUAUACAAAUUUGAAGCAAGGAGACUUAGGAUUCCAAUAGUUUAUAACAAACUUUUAAUAAUAUAAAGUUAAGAUUUGAAUUAAAAAUUAGCAGUGACUCGAUAAAUUUUAAAUAACUUUUGAAGAUCUAUAAAAUUAAAAAUGAAGAGUAUCGAUUUGGUUUUUAAAAGUUAAGAUUGUGUUUUUUUUAAAAAUUAUUUUUGUUUAAAAAUUUUGAUUAAGAAUAUGAGAACUUUUCUAAAAAUGUAAAAAGUAUAGUCUAUGAUUAAUUUUUUUUUUAGAAAUAGAAACUAAAAUAAAAAGUAAUUUAUUUUGGAAAAAUAAAAACAAAUUCUUUGAAAAACAAAUAUUUUUCUAAGGUCAAUGGAUCAAAAUUUGUGAUUAAAUCUUUUUUUUAGGUUAAAAGCCCUUUGAAAAUGAAUAGUCAAUUAUACCCCCGGAUCUUCCGUCGUCGUUGGGUUUAACUCAAUUUCCCGUUUCUCGUCAGAACUGCAAACUGAAGACGGAACCCGCGAAUUCGUUGCCGAACAAAGAUCUUCAGUGCGAGCUUCAGUCUAAACAUGGGUACUAGAGAAGUUUACGAACAUAAGCUAAGAAGAGGCAAUCUCUACCAUGAACCCACUAUGAAUCCAGGGCUCGGAUCGCCUCGUUGCCCUCGCUGUUUUUCUCUUCUUAAACCCGACCAUGUAUUUGUCUCUUCUUCUUCUUCUAUUAAGCACCUUCUACUACUUACGUUUUUUAGUUUUGGGAUUCAUGUUUGAGUUUUACUGUGUUUUGAUUCAGGAUAAAAGUGAAUGGGCCAUCAAUCCUGUUCUCCACUGUGUUACUGCUGUGGUGAGUUGCCAUCGUUCCGAUCUUCGAUUUUAUUUGCUUUGAGAACACAUAAUUUAAUGGGUGCUUCUAGGUUUUUUGAUCGUGUAGAGUUAUAAUUGAACUCUAUGUUGUGUUUGUUUAAUUGGUUCGGUCUUUAGUAGUUCAUGAACGUUUGUUGAUCGAUGAUUUAGGAGUUUAAUUCAAUUCAGUUCUUGCUAUUAGCAAUUGGAGUAUUCUAUCUAACUCAAUUCAUGGUUUUCAAGGGACGUAAAAAAUUGUAGGAAUGAAGUUCGUGGUUUUCUUUUGGAAAAAUCUUUAUUUCUUCGCUAAUUCAAGAAGAAGGUUUAUGAGAUAUUUUAUUCUUAUUUAAUAAUUUUUUUAAUUAUUAAUUAAGAAAAAAUAGCUAAAUACUCACCUUUGAGUGAAUUGUGAGAGAAUUUAAAUGAAGGUAAGAAUGACAAUCCAAUGAUAAAAUUUAACCUUCCAAAUUUAGUGAGUACUUGAACUUGUCUAACAAUCGUUAACUUACACUUCUAGAACCUGAAAACUAUUUUGAAAAUUAUCGAAACACUAAUUUUUUUUAUAAAAAUGACUUAAUUUUUCUAUCAAAUACUUAAAAAUAUAUUUAAAAACAGUAUUGUGUUUCAAUUAAAUUAAAAUUAAACUCUACACCAUGAUAAUAAUUUUUUUGACCAUUUUUAUUUUCUAGAGGAAAAACUACAAAAAUAGUUAUAAAUGUAGCCAUUAGAUUUAAAAUAAUUAAAUUUUAAUAAUAUAAUUUUUAAAAAUAUAACAUAAUAUGUUAAAUUCGAAAUGAUAGUAAUCAAAUAUUAGUCACUAUAUUUAUGAUUUUUUAAAAAUAUAGUUAUAUGACUAUUCGUAAAUUUGCUAACAGAUUACAUUUUGUGCUUUCUAUCUGGGCCCAGUUUAAUUUAUCCGGCCCAUUAAAGAAGCCAAUAAAAAACCUAGCCCUGGGAAUUAGGGUUUCUUCAUUUUGUGAGAGAGUGUGAGAGAAAGUUCUUGCUCCAAUCAUGCCGGCCGGCCAUGGACUUCGAUCACGUACCAGAGACCUCUUCGCCAGGCCUUUCAGGAAGAAGGGUUACAUUGCUUUGACUACCUACUUGAGGACGUACAAAAUCGGUGAUUAUGUGGAUAUCAAGGUGAACGGCGCCGUCCACAAGGGUAUGCCUCAUAAAUUUUACCAUGGUCGCACAGGUCAGGUAUGGAAUGUCACAAAGCGCGCCAUCGGUGUCGAGAUCAACAAACAGGUUCGGGAUUCUUUUUUAAAAUCUGUUAUAGUUUUUAGAAUGUAUAUGAAUCUGGUGAUUUAGGGUAAUAGAUUGUGUUUGGUUUUGAUAGAAUCUUAAUUAGUUUUCGGACUCUGUUUUUCUUAUUAAACUUGUGAAUCUUACUGUAUGUUCUAGUUUGAUGGGUUCUGGAAUCUGCUUUUUUUUUUUUAAGUAUUAAACUUGUGAUUUUCGGAAUGAAUUUUUUGUAGGUCGGGAACAGAAUUAUUAAGAAAAGAAUUCAUGUGAGAGUGGAGCACGUGCAGCCUUCUCGAUGCACGGAGGAAUUUCGCUUGAGGAAGGUGAAGAAUGAUGAGCUGAAGGCUGAAGCCAAGGCCAAAGGCGCAGUCAUCUGCACCAAGAGGCAACCGGAAGGCCCCAAGCCAGGGUUCAUGGUUGAAGGAGCUCUGAUGGAGACUGUGACUCCCAUUCCAUACGAUGUGGUUAAUGAUCUCAAAGGUGGCUAUUAGAAUUUUCAUCUCUCUGAACUUCUGCCUUGUUUUGUUUUGUGAGUCUUAUUUUUGUUUGAUCUUUGCAACUGCUCUAAUGGUACAAUUUUCUCAGAUUAUGCUUCUAAAUUUUGGAAACGGAACUUGUAGAAUUGAAUUGUUUCUUAGUUUCUAGUUUUCGUCACAGUGUAGUUUUAGCUUAUUCAAAGAUGUUCUUGUUUCCAUUAUUUCCAUUGAACCCAUAUUUCUUAAACUAACUAAACUUUCAAUUCUUAAUCACCAUCCAAUUUUGAUAACAAAAAGAGUUUUUAAAACUAAUUUGAGUGUCAAACAUUCUUACUUUUUUGAUAUUACUCAUGACAGAAUGUUUAUCACUGAAAUUUAUUUGAUAUGUCAAUCAAUUGUGUUUUGGUUGCUUAUUGUUUGGUUCAUGUUCCCAAAUAUUGUUAUCGGUGAAUAAAACUACGAGGAGUUCGCUUGAGUAUAUGAUAGUAAACUAAUGAUUUUUAGUGAAAAAGUGGAGUAUUAAGGUUGGUAACUCUCGAACAUCCUUUGACCAUUAUAAUAAGUUCAUUGUUGUAGAUUUUAUCCAAUUGUAAUAUGUUACACCAUUUAUAAUUGUAUGGAACAGAUGUUCUUGAUUGAUUAUAUUUGAGAGAACCUUAAUAUGUAUGUGGAAUUUUUAAUUGUUUUAUUUAUGUUUUAUAAAUAAGGUUCAUUUCGUAAUCAACUAUCAAAUAAUUUGGAAUUUUAAAACCUACCCUUUUGAAAGUGUUAUUUUAUUUUUGUGUCAAAUUUAAUAACAUUUUCGUUAUUGAGAUAGAGAUUUGAAUUCUAACUAGUUCUUGUAGUUUUAUUUGCCAUAAAUUGCCGACACACAUGGUGGUGACUGUAAUAUCACAAAAUUCAUAACCAUUCAGGCCAUUGGCAUGUAGAAAAUUGAUUGUCCUGUAAGUUUAUGUGAUUUUUAAAUGAUGAUGUGAUUUCUCCAUUUAAGUUAGUAGCACAAAAAUUUGGGAAUUUUCAAUCUGUAAUUAUGAUCGGCUCGAGUUAUUGACUCUCUUUUGAAUAUGUUGGCUAGUUUUAAUCUUCUGUUUCAAAAUGAUUGAACGGUCUUUGUAUGUCUCAUAUUCCAAAGAUCAAACAUUUUAUAUGAUAAAAUUGGCUAGAAAUAGUGAAGGGUUUUUCGAUUUUCAAGUGUAUUCAUUGGAGUUUUGUCAUAGUAAUUUAGCUUCGAAAAAACUCAUUCAAGUGGUUAAAAAUGUGAUUGGACAUUCGAUUCUGCAUAUGAGAGUUUGAAAGAAAAUGUCGGUGCAGACUAAUUAGUGAUGUAUGGUAUAUGCCUUGGUUUCUAUCUAAUAUGAAGUUCGGAAGUUUGGUGAUUAUUAGAAAACACAUUCCCUUUUUUCGACUUUAAACACUUGUGGUCUUAGAUGAGAUUAGAAAUGUACAUCCUGAACUUUUGAAUAACUCUUAAUUCAAACUUUAUGGUGAUAAUACUAAAUAGAAAUAGUAUGAUCACUUAAGUAAACAACAAUUACUCAUGACUCAUUCUUUUGUUUUGAUUUUGGUUGGGUUGUAUCCACACGGAUGUUCUUUAUAUUCCAUUAGUUAUAAAAGAUUGCUGCUCCAUACAAUUUUCCAUCAUGACCAAUAUGUCUUUAUAUUCCAUUAGUUAUAAAAGAUUGCUGCUCCAUACAAUUUUCCAUCAUGACCAAUAAAUAAUGGUGAUCGGAACGAUAAUUAAAAUAAUAGAAAAACUAAAAUAGAAUAAAGUUUAGAUACCAAUCUAUAAAUUUAAAUCUAUUAUUUUAAUUUAAAUUUGUGAACCACCUCAAACAAUAUUUUGAACUUAAGCCUAAGGUUCACUUUAAUAUAUGGUCACCACAUAAACUUUAUUAAAGAAAAGAGAGGAAAAAGGAAAAAUUCCCAAAUACUUUUUUCCAAAAAAAAAGAAGAAGAAGAGGGAAAAUCCUUGUUUUAGUAGUGAAAGAACAUAGACGUUAUACUCCACUACGGCAAUCGCCGGAGCUGAAAUUCAGGGCAUGAGUCUUCGCCAGAGCAUACCCAGCAAAUCGGAAAAGCCCGCCGCCGCCGACCACUGGCAUCAUCUCUCACGGCGGACAUAAUCGUAUUCCGCCCCAAGAUGCUCAAAUAACUCCCAUUAUAUUUCCCUUCCACAAACGGCGAAAUUCAUACCAUUAAGAGCCCAAAUUCCGUUUUCGACGCCCCCGCGUAAAAUCCUUGAGCUUUUCCCAGCAAUUUGACCCAAUUUCCGGCCGUUCAGUCAGCGGAUCAUCCGUCAUCACCACAGCGCCAAACAGAGUCCGUGAGGCAUUGGACGACGGCGUGGAACGACAAUCAGCGCCGUGGGUUCCGGCGCGCUGACAUGUCAUGGAAGUAAAAGUGGAGAUGACUCAGCUUCUCCGCCGCGAAUGCCGAGCUUUUCCGGUGACAGAACGGUGUCGGAUGCGGCGAGGAGGGAGGUAAGGAAGAGAGAGAAAAAAGUGGCAGCUGCGACGGCGGUGGAGGGCAUGGGGAUGAGAAUUGGAGCCAUGGGAGUGGAGGAAUUUGAAAGUAUUUAAAACGGUGGAAUUUCAUUAAUAAUGAAUUGUGUUUGAUAUAAACGGCGAGAAGAAAGUAAAAGGUAUUGCGUAGGUGGAUGGGUCCUUUGUGGUUCGACUUCUAAAGGAAAACAACAAAAAGAAAUAAUAGGAUUUUUUAUAUUUACAAAAUAUAUUAAAAUUAUUUUAAAAGAUAUAGAGUUAUUUGUUCUCAGUUCUUCAUUUAUUUAUCACUAUUUCAUUAUAGAAGCAAACAGAAAGACAUUGCCUUCGAAACUUAUAAAUCUUUGUUGAAACGUUUGAUUUACUUCAAGAAAUAAAAUGCCUUCUUAUUGAAAUUUUCUAAUUCUACUUAGUAACUUUAAAAACUAAACUUAUUUCUCUCCUUUGCACAAACAUGAUUUUGAUUUCUAAAUUUUUUAUUUUAUGUUUUACUAUGAUAUAAUAGAAUAUCAAUUCAUCUUUUAUGUCAAUGUUAAACUUGGAAAAAAUAUGAAAAUAUGAUAAAAAUAUUGUGAUGUUGAUGGAGAUUUAAUAAUAUGUCACCUAGCUUCUUUUGAAAUUCAAGAAGUAAACAAACACGAAGCGUGAAUUAAAAUUAGGAUAUGCGUUUUUAUCAAUUUUUUGAAAUAAUAAAUAAAAUGCUACUUUUUCCAGCUACUCCAUUGGUAACAUUUAAAAACAAUUUUAUGUUUUAAUUUUCAUAAUUAUGAAAGGCAUCAAACAAAUAAUUUAUUUAUCCUUCUUCCAUUGUAUAUUAACCAAUUUGGUAGAUUUAGAUGUAAAUUAUACGUAGGUAGGAUGCUCUAUGUUUCAAAUACUUAGUCUUUUACUCAAUUAUUUAUUAAGAGCAAUGCAUUAAUACAUUAACGAUGAAUUGAAAUGAUAAAUUUAGAAACAAUUUUUAUAAUACAAAUUGGAUCUAAGAUCUAGAACACAAAAUUUCUUGAUCUUCAAUCACAUAUUGCAAUUGAUUAAGCUCUUCAAAAAUUUAAAAAAUCAUAUAUUUUUAAACCUCUCUUGAGUAAUUCACACUAAAAAAAACCAAGGAGACUUGGAGGGAUUCCAAUAGUUUAUAACAAACUUUUAUACAAAUUUGAAGCAAGGGAGACUUGGAGGAUUCCGAUAGUUUAUAACAAACUUUUAAUAAUAUAAAGUUAAGAUUUGAAUUAAAAAUGGCAGUAGACUCGAAAAAUCUUAAAUAACUUUUGAAGAUCUAUAAAUUAAAAAUGAAGAGUAUCGAUUUGGUUUUUAAAAAUUAAGUUUAUAAAUACUACUUUUUAUUCGUAAAUUUAUUUAUUUAUCCAACUCAAAUUUAGGUAAGAUUGUGUUUUUUUAAAAUUUAUUUUGUUUAAAAUUUUGAUUAAGAAUAUGAGAACUUUUCUAAAAAUGUAAAAAGUAUACUCUAUGAUUAAUUUUUUCAGAAAUAGAAACUAAAAUAAAAAGUAAUUUAUUUUAGAAAAUAAAAACAAAUUAUUUGAAAAACAAAUAUUUUUCUGAGGUCAAUGGAUCAAAAUUUGUGAUUAAAUCUUUUUUUUAGGUUAAAAACCCUUUGAAAAUGAAUGGUCAAUUAUACCCCCGGAUCUUCGUCGUCGUUGGUUAACUCAAUUUCCCGUUCUCUCAGAACUGCAAACUGAAGACGGAACCGCGAAUUCGUUGCCGAACAAAGAUCUUCAGUGCGAGCUUCAGUCUAGACAUGGGUACUAGAGAAGUUUACGAACAGAAGCUAAGAAGAGGCAAUCUCUACCAUGAACCCACUAUGAAUCCAGGGCUCGGAUCGCCUCGUUGCCCUCGCUGUUUUUCUCUUCUUAAACCCGACCCUGUAUUUGUCUCUUCUUCUUCUUCUAUUAAGCACCUUCUACUACUUAGUUUUUAGUUUUGGGAUUCAUGUUUGAGUUUUACUGUGUUUUGAUUCAGGAUAAAAGUGAAUGGGCCAUCAAUCCUGUUCUCCACGGUGUUACUGCUGUGGUGAGUUGCCAUCGUUCCGAUCUUCGAUUUUAUUUGCUUUGAGAACACAUAAUUUAAUGGGUGCUUCUAGGUUUUUUGAUCGUGUAGAGUUAUAAUUGAACUCUAUGUUGUGUUUGUUUAAUUGGUUCGGUCUUGAGUAGUUCAUGAACGUUUGUUGAUCGAUGAUUUAGGAGUUUAAUUCAAUUCAGUUCUUGCUAUUAGCAAUUGGAGUAUUCUAUCUAACUCAAUUCAUGGUUUUCAAGGGACGUAAAAAAUUGUAGGAAUGAAGUUCGUGGUUUUCUUUUGGAAAAAUCUUUAUUUCUUCGCUAAUUCAAAAAGAAGGUUAUGAGAUAUUUUAUUCUUAUUUAAUAAUUUUUUUUAAUUAUUAAUUAAGAAAAAAUAGCUAAAUACUCACCUUUGAGUGAAUUGUCAGAGAAUUUAAAUGAAGGUAAGAAUGACAAUCCAAUGAUAAAAUUUAACCUUCCAAAUUUAGUGAGUACUUGAACUUGUCUAACAAUAGUUAAAUUAUAGAUCUAGAACCUAAAACUAUUUUGGAAAAUUAUCGAAACAUCAAUUUUUUUUUUAAAAUGACUUAAUUUUUGUAUCAAAUACUUAAAAAUAUAUUCAAAACACAGUAUUGUGUUUCAAUUAAAUUAAAAUUAAACUCUACACAUGAUAAUAAUUUUUUUGACCAUUUUUAUUUUCUGAGGAAAAACUACAAAAAUAGUUAUAAAUGUAGCCAUUAGAUUUAAAAUAAUUAAAUUUUAUAAUAAUAUAAUUUUUAAAAAUAUAACAUAAUAUGUUAAGUUCGAAAUGAUAGUAAUCAAAUAUUAGUCACUAUAUUUAUGAUUUUUUAAAAAUAUAGUUAUAUGACUAUUCGUAAAUUUGCUAACAGAUUACAUUUUGUGCUUUCUAUCUGGGCCCAGUUUAAUUUAUCCGGCCCAUUAAAGAAGCCAAUAAAAAACCUAGCCUCGAAUUAGGGUUUCUUCAUUUUGUGAGAGAGUGUGAGAGAAAGUUCUGCUCCAAUCAUGCCGGCCGGCCAUGGACUUCGAUCACGUACCAGAGACCUCUCGCCAGGCUUUCAGGAAGAAGGGUUACAUUGCUUUGACUACCUACUUGAGGACGUACAAAAUCGGUGAUUAUGUGGAUAUCAAGGUGAACGGCGCGUCCACAAGGGUAUGCCUCAUAAAUUUUACCAUGGUGCCACAGGUCAGGUAUGGAAUGUCACAAAGCGCGCCAUCGGUGUCGAGAUCAAACAACAGGUUCGGGAUUCUUUUUUAAAAUCUGUUAUAGUUUUUAGAAUGUAUAUGAAUCUGGUGAUUUAGGGUAAUAGAUUGUGUUUGGUUUUGAUAGAAUCUUAAUUAGUUUUCGGACUCUGUUUUUCUUAUUAAAACUUGUGAAUCUUAAUGUAUGUUCUAGUUUGAUGGGUUCUGGAAUCUGCUUUUUUUUUUUUUUUUAGUAUUAAACUUGUGAUUUUGGGAAUGAAUUUUUUGUAGGUCGGGAACAGAAUUAUUAAGAAAAGAAUUCAUGUGAGAGUGGAGCACGUGCAGCCUUCUCGAUGCACGGAGGAAUUUCGCUUGAGGAAGGUGAAGAAUGAUGAGCUGAAGGCUGAAGCCAAGGCCAAAGGCGCAGUCAUCUGCACCAAGAGGCAACCGGAAGGCCCCAAACCAGGGUUCAUGGUUGAAGGAGCUCUGAUGGAGACUGUGACUCCCAUUCCAUACGAUGUGGUUAAUGAUCUCAAAGGUGGCUAUUAGAAUUUUCAUCUCUUUGAACUUUUGCCUUGUUUUGUGAGUCUUAUUUUUGUUUGAUCUUUGCAACUGCUCUAAUGUACAAUUUCUCAGAUUAUGCUUCUAAAUUUUGGAAACAGAACUUAUAGAAUUGAAUUGUUUCUUAGUUUCUAGUUUUCGUCACCCUGUAGUUUUAGUUUAUUCAAAGAUGUUCUUGUUUCGAUUAUUUCCAUUGAACCAUAUUUCUUAAACUAACUAAUCUUUCUAUUCUUAAUCACCAUCCAAUUUUGAUAACAAAAAGAGUUUUUAAAACUAAUUUGAGUUUCAAACAUUCUUACUUUUUUGAUAUUACUAAUGACAGAAUGUUUAUCACUGAAAUUUAUUUGAUAUGUCAAUCAAUUGUGUUUUGGUUGCUUAUUGUUUGGUUUAUGUUCCCAAAUAUUGUUAUCGGUGAAUAAAACUACGAGGAGUUCGCUUGAGUAUAUGAUAGUAAACUAAUGAUUUUUAGUGAAAAAGUGGAGUAUUAAGGUUGGUAACUCUCGAACAUCCUUUGACCAUUAUAAUAAGUUCAUUGUUGUAGAUUUUAUCCAAUUGUAAUAUGUUACACCAUUUAUAAUUGUAUGGAACAGAUGUUCUUGAUUGAUUAUAUUUGAGAGAACCUUAAUAUGUAUGUGGAAUUUUAAUUGUUUUAUUUAUGUUUUAUAAAUAAGGUUCAUUUCGUAAUCAACUAUCAAUAUAAUUUGGAAUUUUAAAACCUACCCUUUUGAAAGUGUUAUUUUAUUUUUGUGUCAAAUUUAAUAACAUUUUCGUUAUUGAGAUAGAGAUUUGAAUUCUAACUAGUUCUUGUAGUUUUAUUUGCCAUAAAUUGCCGACACAUGUGGUGUGACUGUAAUAUCACAAAAUUCAUAACCAUUCAGGCCAUUGGCAUGUAGAAAAUUGAUUGUCCUGUAAGUUAUGUGAUUUUUAAAUGAUGAUGUGAUUUCUCCAUUUAAGUUAGUAGCACAAAAAUUUGGGAAUUUUCAAUCUGUAAUUAUGAUCGGCUCGAGUUAUUGACUCUCUUUUGAAUAUGUUGGCUAGUUUUAAUCUUCUGUUUCAAAAUGAUUGAACGGUCUUUGUAUGUCUCAUAUUCAAAGAUCAAACAUUUUAUAUGAUAAAUUGCUAGAAAUAGUGAAGGGUUUUUCGAUUUUCAAGUGUAUUCAUUGGAGUUUUGUCAUAGUAAUUUAGCUUCGAAAAAACUCAUUCAAGUGGUUAAAAAUGUGAUUGGACAUUCGAUUCUGCAUAUGAGAGUUUUGAAAGAAAAUGUCGGUGCAGACUAAUUAGUGAUGUAUGGUAUGCCUUGGUUUCUAUCUAAUAUGAAGUUCGGAAGUUUGGUGAUUAUUAGAAAACACAUUCCCUUUUUUCGACUUUAAACACUUGUGGUCUUAGAUGAGAUUAGAAAUGUACAUCCUGAACUUUUGAAUAACUCUUAAUUCAAACUUUAUGGUGAUAAUACUAAAUAGAAAUAGUAUGAUCACUUUAAGUAACAACAAUUACUCAUGACUCAUUCUUUUUGUUUUGAUUUUGGUUGGGUUGUAUCCACACGGAUGUUCUUUAUAUUCCAUUAGUUAUAAAAGAUUGCUGCUCCAUACAAUUUUCCAUCAUGACCAUAUGUUCUUUAUAUUCCAUUAGUUAUAAAAGAUUGCUGCUCAUACAAUUUUCCAUCAUGACCAAUAAAUAAUGGUGAUCGGAACGAUAAUUAAAAUAAUAGAAAAACUAAAAUAGAAUAAAGUUUAGAUACCAAAUCUAUAAAUUUAAAUUCUAUUAUUUAAUUUAAAUUUUGUGAACCACUCAAACAAUAUUUUGAACUUAAGCCUAAGGUUCACUUUAAUAUUAUGGUCACCACAUAAACUUUAUUAAAGAAAAAGAGAGGAAAAAGGAAAAAUUCCCAAAUACUUUUUCUCAAAAAAAAGAAGAAGAAGAAGGGAAAAUCCUUUGUUUAGUAGUGAAAGACAUAGACGUUAUACUCCACUACGGCAUCGCCGAGCUGAAAUUCAGGGCAUGAGUCUUCGCCGAGCAUACCCACGAGCAAAUCGGAAAAGCCCGCCGCCGCCGACCACUGGCAUCUCUCUCACGGCGGACAUAAUCGUAUUCCGCCCAAGAUGCUCAAUAACUCCCAUUAUAUUUCCCUUCCACAAACGCGAAAUUCAUUACCAUUAAGAGCCCAAAUUCCGUUUUCGACGCCCCGCGUAAAAUCCUUGAGCUUUUCCCAGCAAUUUUGACCCAAUUUCCGGCCCGUUCAGUCAGCGGAUCAUCCGUCAUCACCACAGCGCCAAACAGAGUCCGUGAGGCAUUGGACGACGGCGGUGGAACGACAAUCAGCGCCGUGGGGUUCCGGCCGCUGACGAUGUCAUGAAGUAAAAGUGGAGAUGACUCAGCUUCUCCCGCCGCCGAAUGCCGAGCUUUUCCGGUGACAGAACGGUGUCGGAUGCGGCGAGGAGGGAGGUAAGGAAGAGAGAGAAAAAAGUGGCAGCUGCGACGGCGGUGAGGGCAUGGGGAUGAGAAUUGGAAGCCAUGGGAGUGGAGGAAUUUGAAAGUAUUUAAAACGGUGGAAUUUCAUUAAUAAUGAAUUGUGUUUGAUAUUAAACGGCGAGAAGAAAAGUAAAAGGUAUUGGCGUAGGUGGAUGGGUCCUUUGUGGUUCGACUUCUAAAGGAAACAACAAAAAGAAAUAAUAAUUUUAUAUUUACAAAAUAUAUUAAAAUUAUUUUUAAAAGAUAUAGAGUUAUUUGUUCUCAGUUCUUCAUUUAUUUAUCACUAUUUCAUUAUAGAAGCAAACAAGAAAGACAUUGCCUUCGAAACUUAUAAAUCUUUGUUGAAACGUUUGAUUUACUUCAAGAAAUAAAAUGCCUUCUUAUUGAAAUUUUCUAAUUCUACUUAGUAACUUUAAAAAACUAAACUUAUUUCUCUCCUUUGCACAACAUGAUUUUGAUUUUCUAAAUUUUUUAUUUUAUGUUUUACUAUGAUAUAAUAGAAUAUCAAUUCAUCUUUUAUGUCAAUGUUAAACUUGAAAAAUAUGAAAAAUUGAUAAAAUAUUGUGAUGUUGAUGGAGAUUAAUAAUAUGUCACCUAGCUUCUUUUGAAAUUCAAGAAGUAAACAAACACGAAGCCGCGUGAAUUAAAAUUAGGAUAUGCGUGUUGAAUAAGAAAUUUUGAGACCAAUCACAAGUUGCCACAUCAUUUAUUAAGUUAAUGAUGAAAAGUACAAAUAAUUAAAUUUGGACUAAUUAAAAUUGACACAUGCCCAAAUUAAAGAGUUAAAAUAAAUAAAUUGGUCAUUCUAAUAAUGCCACAUGUUUUCAUAUUAAUCGUUGAUUAAGUUAAUCAUUUUAGUUCAAUUAAGCCAAAAAAAAUAAGCUUAAUUGAGCCCAAAGACUAAAUAUAACUAAGUCCAUAUGGUUGAGCCCAUGGGUCUGGUCCAUGGACCAACCAAGUUCAAACCCAUAAAGCCCACCAGUGAACUCUAUAAAUAGAGGAAUUCUCCUCAUUUGCAGGGGUUGGAAAAUUUUGACUCUUGAAGAUCUAGAGAGAAUUCUUCCAAAAGCUAGAAGACUCCCUAACUUCUGAAGUUGACCACCCUCGAAGAUUGAAGCUGUUUUGAAGAUACAAACUUUCUUCCAAGACUCCAACUUCAAGACAUCACGUGCUCCGCUUCCUCAAAUCAAGCGUAAGCAUUCAACCAACUUGAAGAAAUCACGUGCUCCGCUUCUCCAAAUCAAGCGUAGACGUUCAACAAACUUCAAGACAUCACGUGCUCCGCUUCUCCAAAUCAAGCGUAGACGUUCAACAAACUUCAAGAACAUCACGUGCUCCGCUUCCUCAAAUCAAGCGUAAGCAUUCAACCAACUUGAAGAAAUCACGUGCUCCGCUUCUAAAUCAAGCGUAGACGUUCAACAAACUUCAAGAACAUCACGUGCUCCGCUUCUCCAAAUCAAGCGUAGACGUUCAACAAACUUCAAGAACAUCACGUGCUCCGCUUCCUCCAAAUCAAGCGUAGACAUACAGUUGAGAGAGAAUCAGAGGAUCAAAUUCUAGAGAUUGAACCGCAUCGCAUCAAAUCAACAAAAAUACAACAUCAACCAAGUUAAGUCCACGAAUUAAAUUUCUCCGGAAAUCUCGUGCGAACAAAUUGGCACGCCCAGUGGACCAUCUCUACCUCUCAUCUCUCUCUCAUCAUCUAGAUCUACAAGCAAAUCAAUGGCAUCAAAGAAAGCUGCAUCCAAAUCUUCAGCUGCAAGCGACACCUACACGGGACCUAUCACCCGUAGUCGUUCCAGGGGAUCAUCCAAGGGCAAGCCAAGGUUCCGCCAUCGCGCAGAGCAUCCUGAAGCAAUUGAUGGAAUCUCCUAAAGCUGGAAUUGUCAUCAAGGAAAAUCCUCUAUAUAACGAUUAUGAUUCUGCCUCUAGCAGGUCACUGAAAGAAGCACACCCAGAUGUGAUGUUGACGAUGAUCCGUCAGAUCGAGACUGCCAUGGCGGAGAUGGAGAGAAAAAUUAAUCUCCUGAUGAAGGUUGUUGAUGAACGAGACCACGAAAUUGCAGCUUUAAAGGAGCAGAUGCAGACUCGUGAAACUGCUGAAUCGAGUCAAACUCCUGUCGUUAAAGUUGAUGACAAAGGGAAGAACGUGUACAAGAAAAUCAGCCACAACAACAAUCAACUUCUGUGGCUUCUCUCUCGGUUCAACAAUUACAAGAUAUGAUCACAAGCUCCAUCAGAGCACAAUAUGGAGGCCCAUCUCAGACUUCUUUCAUGUACUCUAAACCAUACACCAAAAGAAUCGACAACUUGAGAAUGCCGCUUGGAUAUCAGCCUCCAAAAUUCCAGCAGUUUGACGGAAAGGGCAAUCCAAAACAGCACGUUGCUCACUUCGUCGAAACAUGUGAGAAUGCAGGAUCAAGAGGAGAUCAACUAGUCAGACAAUUUGUUCGAAGCUUGAAAGGAAAUGCUUUUGAAUGGUAUACUGAUCUGGAGCCAGAAAGCAUUGAGAGUUGGGAACAACUAGAAAAGGAGUUUCUCAAUCGCUUCUACAGCACCAGGCGUACUGUAAGCAUGAUGGAGCUUACAAAUACGAAACAAAGAAAGGGAGAACCAGUCAUCGACUACAUCAAUAGAUGGAGAGCUCUAAGUCUUGACUGUAAAGAUCGGCUCACCGAACUGUCGGCUGUAGAAAUGUGCACCCAAGGCAUGCACUGGGGACUCCUCUACAUUUUGCAGGGAAUAAAGCCCCGCACAUUUGAAGAACUGGCAACUCGAGCUCAUGAUAUGGAGUUGAGCAUCGCCAGUAGAGGAACUAAAGAUUUUCUUGUUCCUGAAGUAAAGAAAGAUAAGAAAGAGAUGAAAGGUGCUGAAAAGAUAGUGAAAAGCACCACGAAAGAAUCUAUGGUCGUAACAAACCCCGCUGAAAUUCUCCAAAGGAAAGGAAGCGAGGGUUGAAAAGAAGGAUGAUGGAAGCGAAAGGCGACGUCUGACUUUAAAAGAAAGGCAGGAAAAAGUUUACCCAUUUCCUGAUUCAGAUAUCGCUGACAUGCUAGAGCAACUACUAGAGAAGCAGCUGAUCCAGCUGCCAGAAUGUAAACGACCUGAGCAAGCAGGAAAGGUAGAUGAUCCCAAUUACUGCAAGUAUCAUCGGGUCAUCAGUCAUCCAGUAGAGAAAUGCUUCGUGCUGAAGGAGCUAAUUCUAAGGUUGGCUCGUGAGAAAAGGAUGAGCUAGAUUUGGAGGAAGUAGCUCAAACAAACCACGCUGAAGUGACGAUAAUGUCUGAGGCUUCUUUCGUCGAGAUUGAUUUUUGAGCAAAGGAAAAGCUUGGUCCAGUUCGGGACCUUUGAGCCUAUAGUUGUCCAUUCUUUCAGGAAAUCUCAUACGAGGAUCCUCAAGGAGAGAAAAGACCAAUUGAAGAAGACGAUGAAGGGUGGAUAGUGGUGACCCACCGAAAGAAAAGACAGUCGAUCCCGACCCAAAGAGAGUCUCGCUCUUACCAAAACUAUAGAAGAGGAAAUAAGACUCAAAAGAAUAAGAAAAAGAAGAAGACUCAUAAGCUUAAGCUCGUACAUAAUGAAGACAUGAAUUUCUCUCGACCUCAACGCUUAGUGACCUUGGCAGACUUCCUUCCAAAAAGCUUCCUUUGUGAUCAUCAGGAUGAAGACCCAGAAGUCGUUGCGUGUCAUGCUAUCAACACAACGGAGGAAGAAAUAAUCCCUCCAAGAUCACUAGAAGGAGAGGGAGUAUCAAAAGACCUUUCAAGGUUUAAUGUAGAGGAUCUAUUAUCACUUCCUCAAGAGACCAAAACCAUCCUUAUUGAUGCAUUGCUAAAUUCAAGAGCAUCAAGUUCGAGUACUCCGACUAUGACAUAUGAGAGUGGUUCUUAUUGUAUGUCUAUAGACUUCUCAGAUGAGGAUUUGUUGUUGGGAUCUAAACUUCAUAAUAGACCUUUGUAUGUUUCUGGAUACGUUCGAGAACAGAGAGUCGAUCGAAUCCUCAUUGAUAAUGGCUCAGCUGUCAACAUAAUGCCAAAGUCGACUAUGUGGCAAUUAGGCAUCUUGAUGGACGAGCUCUCAAAUAGCAAGCUAGUAAUUCAAGGUUUUAACCAAGGUAGCCAAAGAGCAAUAGGCAUGAUACGGUUAGAACUCAUAAUUGGCGACCUAAAGGCCAGUGCAUUGUUUCAUGUCAUAGACUCAAGGACUACUUACAAGUUGUUACUAGGGCGUCCUUGGAUUCAUGGAACGGAAACGGAGUAGUAACUUCAACACUGCAUCAGUGCUUCAAAUUUUAUCAGGACGGUGUAAAGAAGGUUGAAGCCGACUCUAAUCCAUUCUCAGAAGCUGAGUCUCACUUCGCAGAUGCAAAGUUUUAUUCAAAGAAUAAUAAUAUUUUAGAAGUUUUGCCUGCAGAAACCCCUCUUACAAAAGGAGAAGAUAAUUCACAACUGAAAUCACUCGCAACCACAGAACCACAUGAAAGUGCGAGAACCUUUAACUCUGGAAAGGGUGAAACAUACACUCGCAACACAAAGGGUAUGAUCUUGAAGAAUGAAAAUGCUGCAAACACACCAGUUUUGCGUUAUGUCCCUCUGUCAAGGCGCAAGAAAGGCGAAUCACCAUUCAUGGAGUCUCCAAAAGGUUUGAAAGUUGUUGGGACAUCGAAAUCAUAAAAGAAAGCUUCACUACACCACUAACUAAGAUAGCGAAGCAGGAGGUAAAGGUAGAUCUGGUGGAAGCAAACUUGCCCCAAAGGCGAACGAAAGACGGAUUCGACCCCAAGGCUUACAAAUUGAUGGCGAAACAGGUUAUGACUUCACAGCUCACACCGAGUUUAAAAAGCUUAAAUUCAUGACCGACCUGGCUCUCCUCAACUCAAAAGAAGCUUCUACGGGAAGGACAUUCUAUACCCGUGUCGAGAAAAGGACUCGGAUACAAGUCGCCAGAACCGAUCCGUAUAACUAAAAAGGGGAAGGAAAAAGUGGUUGACAUCAAUCAUAUAACUAUAGAGGAGGAUGACAAUACUGACGUAAAAGAAGGUGAUAAUCAGAGAAUCUCAGUAUUUGAUCGAAUUAGACCAUCUGUUGCACGUCCCGUAGUAUUUGAAAGGCUAAGCAUGACAGAGGCAGAAAGAGAAAGGCUCCAGUCAGUACCAAACCUUGAGAGACAUUCGGUCUUUCGAAGGCUAACUACGACUCCCAUAAAGGAAGAAAGCACAUGCCAUGCCUUGACAACUACAAGACCAUCAGCCUUUGAAAGGCUAGGUGUGUCUAAAAAGAAAAAUGUACAAGCACCCCGUGCUCCGAUUUUUAAUCAUCUCGGGGAUAAAGGAUCACACGACAACAUUGAUUCCAACAUAGAUACAAAGAAGAAGGAACCAAUGUCUCGUGUGAAAGUUUGGCGUCGAAUUAAGCAUACAGAUGUCGAUAAUUAUCGUAGUAAGAAGUUUCCUUGCGAGACAAAGGAAAAUGGAGAAAUUCAUAGCAACGUUCCUUCUCGCAUGAAAAGAAAAACUUUUGUUACUCUCAAUACAAGUCAAGGUUCGUUAAAGGUAAAAAGACAUGAUGUUAUACUAACGAAUCCUGAAAAAGAAGGGUCGGAACAAGGGAAGGUGAAACUUCAUGUCAUCACAUCACCAUUAUUGAGGAAUCAGAGACUGGAACUCAUGAAGAAGACGCAGAAAAUGCCCCACAAAGUUUAGAGGAUGGUGGUCAAUCUACUGUAGACGAGCUAAAAGAGGUGAACCUUGGUACAAUAGAGGAACCACGUCGACUUUCAUUAGUGCGUCCCUCUCUAAUGAAGAGGUGGAUAAAUAUAUGAGUUUGCUCACCGAAUACAGGGACAUCUUUGCGUGGUCAUACAAGGAGAUGCCAGGACUUGACCCAAAAGUAGCAGUCCAUCAUCUUGCAAUUAAACCCGGAUAUCGACCGAUUAAACAAGCACAACGACGUUUUCGACCGGAGCUUAUCCCUCAAAUCGAGGUGGAAGUCAACAAGUUGAUCGAAGCAGGAUUCAUUCGCGAGGUCAAAUAUCCAACGUGGAUAGCAAACAUUGUCCCUGUUAGAAAAAAAAAUGGACAACUUCGCGUUUGUGUAGACUUUCGCGAUCUGAAUAAUGCAUGCCCUAAAGAUGAUUUUCCCUUGCCCAUCACCGAAAUCAUGGUUGAUGCAACUACUGGACACGAGGCGUUGUCGUUUAUGGAUGGGUCGUCUGGAUAUAAUCAAAUACGGAUGGCCCUCUCAGAUGAAGAAAUGACAGCUUUCAGAACUCCAAAGGGAAUAUACUGUUACAAGGUGAUGCCCUUUGGAUUGAAAAAUGCCGGCGCUACUUAUCAACGUGCCAUGCAGAAAGUGUUUGAUGAUAUGUUGCACAGGUAUGUUGAAUGUUAUGUUGAUGAUCUUGUAGUCAAAACAAAGAGACGACAAGACCAUUUGAAGGAUCUAAAAGUCGUGUUUGAUCGCUUGCGAAAAUAUCAGCUAAGGAUGAACCCUCUCAAGUGUGCGUUUGGUGUAACUUCAGGAAAAUUUCUUGGCUUCAUUGUAAGGCAUCGAGGGAUCGAAAUAGACCAGUCCAAGAUUGAUGCCAUUCAGAAGAUGUCAAGACCUAAAAGUUUGCAUGACCUAAGAAGUCUCCAAGAGAUGGCUUACAUCCGAAGGUUCAUCUCUAACUUGGCCGGUCGGUGUCAACCUUUUCAAAAGUUGAUGAGAAAAGGAGAAAAUUUUGUGUGGGAUGAAGCUUGUCAGAACGCUUUUGAUAGCAUAAAGAAAUACUUGCUUACUCCCCAGUGCUGGGAGCUCCAGUACCUGACAAACCACUAAUAUUGUACAUUGCUGCACAAGAAAGGUCCUUAGGAGCAUUACUGGCACAAGAAGAGGUAAAGGGAAAGGAGCGUUCUCUCUACUAUCUAAGCAGAACAUUAAUUGGGGCUGAAGUUAACUAUUCUCCUAUCGAAAAGAUGUGUCUUGCACUUUUCUUUGCCAUUGAUAAGUUGAGGCAUUAUAUGCAGGCCUUCACGGUUCAUCUAGUGGCAAAAGCAGACCCUAUAAAGUAUGUUCUAUCCAGGCCAAUCAUCGCUGGACGCUUAGCCAAAUGGGCGGUUCUACUCCAACAAUAUGACAUUGUCUAUAUUCCCCAAAAGGCGAUAAAAGGACAAGCGCUAGCAGACUUUUUAGCAGACCACCCAAUUCCUUCGGAUUGGAAGUUAUGUGAUGACCUACCAGACGAUGAGGUUUUCUUCACAGAAGUUAUGGAACCUUGGACUAUGUACUUCGAUGGUGCAGCUCGAAGAAGUGGUGCGGGGGCAGGCAUUGUCCUCAUUUCUCCUGAGAAGCAUAUGUUGCCUUAUAGCUUUGCACUUUCCGAAUUGUGUUCAAACAAUGUGGCUGAAUAUCAGGCUUUGAUAAUUGGCCUUCAAAUAGCAUUAGAAAUCGGAGUGUCAUUCAUAGAGGUCUAUGGUGAUUCAAAAUUGAUAAUCAAUCAACUCUCGCUUCAAUAUGACGUGAAACAUGAAGACUUGAAGCCAUAUUUUGCUUAUGCUCGACAAUUGAUGGAAAAGUUUGAUAAUGUGAUGUUAGAACAUGUCCCUAGAGUAGAAAAUAAGAGAGCGGAUGCAUUGGCAAAUUUAGCCACGGCCUUGACCAUGCCAGAUGAUGUAACUCUGAACAUACCACUUUGUCAACGAUGGAUUAUACCCCAGUUAGGCCUGAAUGUCAGGAAGUGAACAUGGCAACAUCCUAUUUGAUUGAUGAAGAAGAUUGGCGUCAACCCAUCAUAGAGUAUCUUGAACAUGGAAAGCUUCCAAAGGAUUCUCGUCAUAAAAUUGAGAUACGAAGAAGGGCAGCACACUUCAUUUAUUACAAGGGAACUUUAUAUCGCCGUUCUCUUGAAGGGCUCUUCCUUCGAUGUCUCGGAAAGGAAGAUUCGGUAAAAGCUCUAAAGGAAGUACAUGCAGGUGUUUGUGGAGCACAUCAAUCGGGACCAAAGCUUCAAUUCCAGCUAAGAAGAAUGGGCUACUACUGGCCUAAGAUGAUCCAAGAUUCAAUAGACUAUGUGAAGAAGUGUGAGCCUUGUCAAUACCAUGCAAACUUCAUACACCAACCUCCAGAACCUCUUCAUCCAACUGUGGCUUCUUGGCCUUUUGAGGCUUGGGGACUCGAUCUGGUUGGCCCCAUUACACCAAAAUCAUCAGCAGGACAUUCUUAUAUCCUAGCAGCAACAGACUAUUUUUCAAGGUGGGCUGAGGCCAUUUCAUUGAGAGAAGCCAAGAAGGAGAACGUGGCAGACUUUAUUCGAACACACAUCAUCUAUCGAUACGGUAUUCCACAUCGAAUCGUGACGGAUAAUGGAAAGCAAUUCUCCAAUAGUAUGAUGGACAAGUUAUGUGAAAAAUUCAAAUUCAAGCAAUAUAAGUCAUCCAUGUACAACGCAGCUGCGAAUGGACUAGCAGAAGCAUUCAACAAAACAUUGUGUAAUCUUUUAAAGAAAAUUGUCUCCAAGUCAAAGAGGGAUUGGCAAGAAAAGAUCGGCGAGGCAUUAUGGGCUUAUCGACGACUCAUCGCACCCCUACAGGGGUUACACCAUAUUCGCUUGUUUACGGUGUGGAGGCUGUCCUUCCUCUCGAAAGGGAAAUUCCGUCACUAAGAAUGCAGUACAAGAGGGAUUGACUACCGAAAGAUAAGUGAAGUUACUCUUCAAGAAUUAGAAGCACUUGACGAAAAGCGUUAGAGGCUCAGCAAGCAUUGGAAUGUUAUAAGCGAGAAUGUCCAAGCUUUUGAUAAACACGUUAAACCUCGCUCCUUUCAAGUCGGUGAUCUAGUGCUUGCCGUAAGGAGACCGAUCAUCACAACAAGCAUACAGGAAAUAAGUUCACACCUAAAUGGAUGGACUUACAUUGUUAAAGAAGUUUAUACAAAUGGCGCAUACAAGAUCGUGAUCAAGACGGACUACGAAUUGGCCCAAUCAAUGUAAAUUUCUUAAAAAAAUUUAUGCUUAAUUUUGUUAAAAAAAAAAAAAAAGUUGAACUACGUUAUGACUUGAUCCCUAUGUUAUAAAGGGUACGUAGGCAGCUUAAGGAAAACCUUAAGCCCAGUCCAGCAAAAAAAAAGUUGAACUACGUUAUGACUUGAUCCCUAUUAUAAAGGGUACGUAGGCAGCUUAAGGAAAACCUUAAGCCAGUCCAGCAAAAAAAAAGUUGAACUACGUUAUGACUUGAUCCUAUGUUAUAAAGGGUACGUAGGCAGCUUAAGGAAAACCUUAAGCCCAGUCCAGCAAAAAAAAAUUGAACUACGUUAUGACUUGAUCCCUAUAUAUAAGGGUACGUAGGCAGCUUAAGGAAAACCUUAAGCCCAGUCCAGCAAAAAAAAAUUGAACUACGUUAUGACUUGAUCCCUAUUAUAAAGGGUACGUAGGCAGCUUAAGGAAAACCUUAAGCCCAGUCCAGCAAAAAAAAAUUGAACUACGUUAUGACUGAUCCCUAAUUACAAAGGUACGUAGGCAGCUUAAGGAAAACCUAAGCCCAGUCCAGCAAAAAAGAACUACGUUAGACUUGAUCCCUACUUAUAAAGGGUACGUAGCAACUUAAAGAAAACUUUAAGUUCAGUCCACCAUUAUAAAAAAAAAAAAAAAAAAAACCUUGAACUACGUCGUGAGUUAAUUCUUUUCUUCAAAGGGUGUUCAUCUCCACUAAGAAAUCAUAACAAAUUGGGGGCAAAUCCCUAAAUUCAAGAUGUUCAUCUUUAGUAACAAUGAGAUGAAAUAAAUUGAAGAUGUACAAACUCCGUGCAAAGACUAUGUACAAGUUGAGUGCAUGUAAAAAGAAAAAAAAAAAGAGAAUCUCAAAAUCAAGCUCAAAGGCAUCAUUAAUGAUCCCUCAAAUUCAAGCAUAAAAGUUUCAUUGAUGAUUCCUUAUAUUCAAGUUUGAAGGCUUCAUCGAUGCUGCAGCUCCAGCUCUUUGAGAGGAUAACGAUGGUACAACUUUGAUAGGACGACGAUCGGGCAGCUCUGCCUUCGCCUCUCCAAGAUGAAAACGACAGUGUAACAUCGUUUCUGCCUCUUGAAGAAGAUGCAUGCAAUGCUAAAGCUUUAACCUCUGCUUCAUCUUCAGCUUAUUGCAACGAAGAGGAUUCAUCUUCAUCUUCUUCUAAGUUUGCAAUCGAAGAUGAUUCAUCUUCAUCUGCUCUAAGGUUCGCAAGUGAGAGGAUUCAUCUUUGUCUUCCUCCAUGUGUUACAACCGAGAUGAUUCAUCUCAUCUUCACCUAGGAGUCGCAAUCAAGAAGAUUCAUUUUCAUCUUCUCUCAGGUGUAACAACCGAAGAUGAUUCAUCUUCAUCUGCUCUAAGGUGUCGCAAGUGAGAGGAUUCAUCUUUGUCUUCUCCUAUGUGUUGCAACCGAGAGGAUUCAUCUUCAUCUUCUCCUAAGAAUUGCAACUGAGAAGAUUCACCUUCAUCUUCUUCUAGGUGCUACAACCGAGAGGAUUCAUUUUCAUCUUCUCAUUGGAAUUGCAACUGAGAAGAUUCAUCUUCAUCUUCUCCUAAGAGUCGCAACGAGAAGAUUCACCUUCAUCUUCUUUCAGGUGUCGCAACCAAAGAAGAUUCAUCUUCAUCUUCUUAGGAGUUGCAACCAAAGAGAAUUCAUCUUCAUCUUCUUUCAAUAUCGUAGCCGGAAGGAUUCACCUUCAUCUUCUUCUAGGUGCUACAAUCAAAGAUGAUUCAUCUUCAUCUUCUCUUAUAUGUCAUAGCUGAGAAGAUUCAUCUUCAUCUUCUCCAGGUGCUGCAAUCGAAAAUGAUUCAUCUUCUCUCAUAUGUCAUACCGAGAGAUUCAUCUUCAUCUUCUCCCAUAUGUCAUAGCCGAGAGAUUUAUCUUCAUCUUCUCCCAGGUGCUGCAAUUGAAUAGGAUUCAUCUUCAUCUCCUCCCAUAUGUCAUAGUCGAGAGGAUUCAUCUUCAUCUUCUCUCAUAUGUCAUAGCUGAGAGGAUUCAUCUUCAUCUUCUUCCAAGUGCUGCAACUGAAGAGAAUUCAUCUUCAUCUCCUUUCAUAUGUCAUAGCCGAGAGGAUUCAUCUUCAUCUUCUCUCAUAUGUCAUAGCUGAGAGGAUUCAUCUUCAUCUUCUUCCAAGUGCUGCAACUGAAGAGAAUUCAUCUUCAUCUCCUCCCAUAUGUCAUAGCCGAGAGGAUUCAUCUUCAUCUUCUCCUAUAUGUCGUAGCUGAGAGUAUUCAUCUUUAUCAUCUAACAGGUGUCGCAACCCGGCCGAUGGAAUUCAUUUUCAUCAGCUCUAAGGUGUCGCAAGCUAGAUGAUUCAUCUUCAUCUUCUCCCUAGUACCACAACCAAGAAAGAAAGAAAAAAAAAGGAGAAGCAAGAAGAAGAAAGAAGAAAAUGAUGAAGAAGAAAGAAGGAAGAAGGAAAAAAAAAAAAAAAAAAAAAAAAAAAAAAAACAAAAACAAAAAGAAAGAAAAACAAAAAAAAAACAAAAGAAAGAAGAAGAAGAAAACAAAAAAAAGAAGCAAAAGAAGAAAAAACAAAAAGAAAGAAGAAUAAGAAGAAGAAGAAAAAAAAAAAACGAAGAAGCUCAAUUGGUGAUAACGAAGAUCGAAGCCCGACGAUGACAGAGUCGAUCUCUCCUACUAGGGCGAUAGAUCUGACGGCAAAAGCCCGAUCGUCCCUAGAAGAAGCUCAACAAAGUCAUUUAUGCAAACGAAGAUUGAAGCCCGACGAUGACAGAGUCGAUCUCUCCUACUAGGGCGAUAGAUCUGACGGCAAAAGCCCGAUCGUCCCUAGAAGAAGCUCAACAAAGUCAUUUCUGCAAACGAAGAUUGAAGCCCGACGAUGACAGAGUCGAUCUCUCCUACUAGGGCGAUAGAUCUGACGGCAAAAGCCCGAUCGUCCCUAGAAGAAGCUCAACAAAGUCAUUUCUGCAAACGAAGAUCGAAGCCCGACGAUGACAGAGUCGAUCUCUCCUACUAGGGCGAUAGAUCUGACGGCAAAAGCCCGAUCGUCCCUAGAAGAAGCUCAACAAAGUCAUUUCUGCAAACGAAGAUUGAAGCCCGACGAUGACAGAGUCGAUCUCUCCAACUAGGGCGAUAGAUCUGACGGCAAAAGCCCGAUCGUCCCUAGAAGAAGCUCAACAAAGUCAUUUCUGCAAACGAAGAUCGAAGCCCGACGAUGACAGAGUCGAUCUCUCCUACUAGGGCGAUAGAUCUGACGGCAGAAGCCCGAUCGUCCCUAGAAGAAGCUCGACAAAGUCAUUCCUGCAAAAAAAAAAAAAAAAAAAAACAAAACAAAAAUACAAAAAAAAAAAACAAACAAAAAAACAAAACAAAACAGAAAAAAAAAAACACACACACACACACAAAAAAAAAAAAAAAAAAAAAAGAGAAAGGGAGAAGAAAAGUUUUCUAUACCUUUCUGCCGAUUUGAUGAGGAAUAAGCGUUGGAUGAGGUAUAAGUGAGUAGGGUAUGAGUCUAUUUAUAAGCCCAACAAAUCCAAUUCCUAAAAGGAUUAGGAAUGAUAUUUAAUUAUUUUUUUAAAAAAAAACAAAUCCAAUUCCUAAAAGGAAUAGGAAUGAUUUUUAAAAAAUAUAUAUAUAUAAAGAAAAGAUAAUCCAAUUAUCUUAUUUUAUUUUAAAUUAUUUCUUUUUUUUGGAUAAAUCUCAAGUUUAACUUUUAUUGAGAUAUUUAAAAUAUUUAAAAAUUUCAACAUUUUUAAAAAUAUAUACAUAUAUAUAUAAAUAUUCUCAAUUUCAAAAUUCAAGUUAAAUUAACUUGCAUAUAUGACCUCCUUUUUAUCAUGAAUUUAAAUCGGAGCCAUAAAUCCAACUUUACCUAAGAUUGAGGACCUGAUUUUUUUAUCUCAAAUUAAAAUUGGUCAUUCCAAAUUCUUAUGCAUCCCCAAGAUAAAUUAAGGUACGGUAGAAACCUUAUCCUUAUUUCAAAAUUAAAAUUUUGGUUAUAUUCCAAAUUUUACUUUAAAAAAAAAAAAUCAUCAUAUUAAUUUUUUUUCCCCUCAAAUAAAAUUAAGUGGGAAAUAAAACUUUGAAUUUUUUUUAAGGUUUGGCCAUAUUCCAACCCUUAUUUUAAAUUUAAAUCAAACUCACGUACUAAAUUCAUAGUUUGAUUAAUUUGAUAUGCUGAAUUGAGUAAAAAAAAAAAAAAAAAAAGGCUCGUACUUUGACUUCAAAUUUAUCUUUUCCGAGAUUCAUUCACCCAUAUACGUGCAUAAAUCUCGAAAAGGGGCAUUUGUUGAAUAAGAAAUUUUGAGACCAAUCACAAGUUGCCACAUCAUUUAUUAAGUUAAUGAUGAAAAGUACAAAUAAUUAAAUUUGGGACUAAUUAAAAUUGACACAUGCCCCAAAUUAAAGAGUUAAAAUAAAUAAAUUGGUCAUUCUAAUAAUGCCACAUGUUUUCAUAUUAAUCGUUGGAUUAAGUUAAUCAUUUUAGUUCAAUUAAGCCAAAAAAAAUAAGCUUAAUUGAGCCCAAAGACUAAAUAUAACCUAAGUCCAUAUGGUUGAGCCCAUGGGUCUGGUCCAUGGACCAACCAAGUUCAAACCCAUAAAGCCCACCAGUGAACUCUAUAAAUAGAGGAAUUCUCCUCAUUUGCAGGGGUUGGAAAAUUUUGACUCUAGAAGAUCUAGAGAGAAUUCUUCCAAAAGCUAGAAGACUCCCUAACUUCUGAAGUUGACCACCCUCGAAGAUUGAAGCUGUUUUGAAGAUACAAACUUUCUUCCAAGACUCCAACUUCAAGAACAUCACGUGCUCCGCUUCCUCAAAUCAAGCGUAAGCAUUCAACCAACUUGAAGAACAUCACGUGCUCCGCUUCUCCAAAUCAAGCGUAGACGUUCAACAAACUUCAAGAACAUCACGUGCUCCGCUUCUCCAAAUCAAGCGUAGACGUUCAACAAACUUCAAGAACAUCACGUGCUCCGCUUCUCAAAUCAAGCGUAGAUUCAACAAACUUCAAGAACAUCACGUGCUCCGCUUCUCCAAAUCAAGCGUAGACGUUCAACAAACUUCAAGAACGUGCUCCGCUUCUCCAAAUCAAGCGUAGACGUUCAACAAACUUCAAGAACAUCACGUGCUCCGCUUCCUCCAAAUCAAGCGUAGACAUACAGUUGAGAGAGAAUCAGAGGAUCAAAUUCUAGAGAUUGAACCGCAUCGCAUCAAAUCAACAAAAAUACAACAUCAACCUAAGUUUAAGUCCACGAAUUAAAUUUCUCUGGAAAUCUCGUGCGAACAAUGCGUUUUUAUCAAUUUUUUGAAAUAAUAAAUAAAAUGCUACUUUUUCCAGCUACUCCAUUGGUAACAUUUAAAAACAAUUUUAUGUUUUAAUUUUCAUAAUUAUGAAAGGCAUCAAACAAAUAAUUUAUUAUCCUUCUUCCAUUGUAUAUUAACCAAUUUGGUAGAUUUAGAUGUAAAUUAUACGUAGGUAGGAUGCUCUAUGUUCAAAUACUUAGUCUUUACUCAAUUAUUUAUUAAGAGCAAUGCAUUAAUACAUUAACGAUGAAUUGAAAUGAUAAAUUUAGAAACAAUUUUAUAAUACAAAUUGGAUCUAAGAUCUAGAACACAAAAUUUCUUGAUCUUCAAUCCACAUAUUGCAAUUGAGUUAAGCUCUUCAAAAUUUAAAAAAUCAUAUAUUUUUUAAACCUCUCUUGAGUAAUUCACACUAAAAAAACCAAGGAGACUUGGAGGAUUCCAAUAGUUUAUAACAAACUUUUAUACAAAUUUGAAGCAAGGGAGACUUGGAGGAUUCCGAUAGUUUAUAACAAACUUUUAAUAAUAUAAAGUUAAGAUUUGAAUUAAAAAUGGGCAGUAGACUCGAAAAAUCUUAAAUAACUUUUGAAGAUCUAUAAGAUUAAAAAUGAAGAGUAUCGAUUUGGUUUUUAAAAAUUAAGUUUAUAAAUACUACUUUAUUCGUAAAUUUAUUUAUUUUAUCCAACUCAAAUUUAGGUAAGAUUGUGUUUUUUUAAAAAUUUAUUUUUGUUUAAAAUUUUGAUUAAGAAUAUGAGAACUUUUCUAAAAAUGUAAAAAGUAUACUCUAUGAUUAAUUUUUUCAGAAAUAGAAACUAAAAUAAAAAGUAAUUUAUUUUAGAAAAUAAAAACAAAUUAUUUGAAAAACAAAUAUUUUUCUGAGGUCAAUGAUCAAAAUUUGUGAUUAAAUCUUUUUUUUAGGUUAAAAACCCUUUGAAAAUGAAUGGUCAAUUAUACCCCCGGAUCUUCGUCGUCGUUGGGUUUAACUCAAUUUCCCGUUUCUCGUCAGAACUGCAAACUGAAGACGGAACCCGCGAAUUCGUUGCCGAACAAAGAUCUUCAGUGCGAGCUUCAGUCUAGACAUGGGUACUAGAGAAGUUUACGAACAGAAGCUAAGAAGAGGCAAUCUCUACCAUGAACCCACUAUGAAUCCAGGCUCGGAUCGCCUCGUUGCCCUCGCUGUUUUUCUCUUCUUAAACCCGACCCUGUAUUUGUCUCUUCUUCUUCUUCUAUUAAGCACCUUCUACUACUUAAGUUUUUUAGUUUUGGGAUUCAUGUUUGAGUUUUACUGUGUUUUGAUUCAGGAUAAAAGUGAAUGGGCCAUCAAUCCUGUUCUCCACGGUGUUACUGCUGUGGUGAGUUGCCAUCGUUCCGAUCUUCGAUUUUAUUUGCUUUGAGAACACAUAAUUUAAUGGUGCUUCUAGGUUUUUUGAUCGGUAGAGUUAUAAUUGAACUCUAUGUUGUGUUUGUUUAAUUGGUUCGUCUUGAGUAGUUCAUGAACGUUUGUUGAUCGAUGAUUUAAGAGUUUAAUUCAAUUCAGUUCUUGCUAUUAGCAAUUGGAGUAUUCUAUCUAACUCAAUUCAUGGUUUUCAAGGGACGUAAAAAAUUGUAGGAAUGAAGUUCGUGGUUUUCUUUUGGAAAAAUCUUUAUUUCUUCGCUAAUUCAAAAAGAAGGUUUAUGAGAUAUUUAUUCUUAUUUAAUAAUUUUUUUUAAUUAUUAAUUAAGAAAAAAUAGCUAAAUACUCACCUUUGAGUGAAUUGUCAGAGAAUUUAAAUGAAGGUAAGAAUGACAAUCCAAUGAUAAAAUUUAACCUUCCAAAUUUAGUGAGUACUUGAACUUGUCUAACAAUAGUUAAAUUAUAGAUCUAGAACCUAAAAACUAUUUGGAAAAUUAUCGAAACAUCAAUUUUUUUUUUAAAAUGACUUAAUUUUUGUAUCAAAUACUUAAAAAUAUAUUCAAAACACAGUAUUGUGUUUCAAUUAAAUUAAAAUUAAACUCUACACCAUGAUAAUAAUUUUUUUGACCAUUUUUAUUUUCUGAGGAAAAACUACAAAAAUAGUUAUAAAUGUAGCCAUUAGAUUUAAAAUAAUUAAGUUUAUAAUAAUAUAAUUUUUAAAAAUAUAACAUAAUAUGUUAAUUCGAAAUGAUAGUAAUCAAAUAUUAGUCACUAUAUUUAUGAUUUUUUAAAAAUAUAGUUAUAUGACUAUUCGUAAAUUUGCUAACAGAUUACAUUUUGUGCUUUCUAUCUGGGCCCAGUUUAAUUUAUCCGGCCCAUUAAAGAAGCCAAUAAAAAACCUAGCCCUCGAAUUAGGGUUUCUUCAUUUUGUGAGAGAGUGUGAGAGAAAGUUCCUGCUCCAAUCAUGCCGGCCGGCCAUGGACUUCGAUCACGUACCAGAGACCUCUUCGCCAGGCCUUUCAGGAAGAAGGGUUACAUUGCUUUGACUACCUACUUGAGGACGUACAAAAUCGGUGAUUAUGUGGAUAUCAAGGUGAACGGCGCCGUCCACAAGGGUAUGCCUCAUAAAUUUUACCAUGGUCGCACAGGUCAGGUAUGGAAUGUCACAAAGCGCGCCAUCGGUGUCGAGAUCAACAAACAGGUUCGGGAUUCUUUUUUAAAAUCUGUUAUAGUUUUUAGAAUGUAUAUGAAUCUGGUGAUUUAGGGUAAUAGAUUGUGUUUGGUUUUGAUAGAAUCUUAAUUAGUUUUCGGACUCUGUUUUUCUUAUUAAACUUGUGAAUCUUAAUGUAUGUUCUAGUUUGAUGGGUUCUGGAAUCUGCUUUUUUUUUUUUUAGUAUUAAACUUGUGAUUUUGGGAAUGAAUUUUUUGUAGGUCGGGAACAGAAUUAUUAAGAAAAGAAUUCAUGUGAGAGUGGAGCACGUGCAGCCUUCUCGAUGCACGGAGGAAUUUCGCUUGAGGAAGGUGAAGAAUGAUGAGCUGAAGGCUGAAGCCAAGGCCAAAGGCGCAGUCAUCUGCACCAAGAGGCAACCGGAAGGCCCCAAACCAGGGUUCAUGGUUGAAGGAGCUCUGAUGGAGACUGUGACUCCCAUUCCAUACGAUGUGGUUAAUGAUCUCAAAGGUGGCUAUUAGAAUUUUCAUCUCUUUGAACUUUUGCCUUGUUUUGUGAGUCUUAUUUUUGUUUGAUCUUUGCAACUGCUCUAAUGGUACAAUUUUCUCAGAUUAUGCUUCUAAAUUUUGGAAACAGAACUUAUAGAAUUGAAUUGUUUCUUAGUUUCUAGUUUUCGUCACCCUGUAGUUUUAGUUUAUUCAAAGAUGUUCUUGUUUCGAUUAUUUCCAUUGAACCCAUAUUUCUUAAACUAACUAAUCUUUCUAUUCUUAAUCACCAUCCAAUUUUGAUAACAAAAAGAGUUUUUAAAACUAAUUUGAGUUUCAAACAUUCUUACUUUUUUGAUAUUACUAAUGACAGAAUGUUUAUCACUGAAAUUUAUUUGAUAUGUCAAUCAAUUGUGUUUUGGUUGCUUAUUGUUUGGUUUAUGUUCCCAAAUAUUGUUAUCGGUGAAUAAAACUACGAGGAGUUCGCUUGAGUAUAUGAUAGUAAACUAAUGAUUUUUAGUGAAAAAGUGGAGUAUUAAGGUUGGUAACUCUCGAACAUCCUUUGACCAUUAUAAAAGUUCAUUGUUGUAGAUUUUAUCCAAUUGUAAUAUGUUACACCAUUUAUAAUUGUAUGGAACAGAUGUUCUUGAUUGAUUAUAUUUGAGAGAACCUUAAUAUGUAUGUGGAAUUUUUAAUUGUUUUAUUUAUGUUUUAUAAAUAAGGUUCAUUUCGUAAUCAACUAUCAAAUAAUUUGGAAUUUUAAAACCUACCCUUUUGAAAGUGUUAUUUUAUUUUUGUGUCAAAUUUAAUAACAUUUUCGUUAUUGAGAUAGAGAUUUGAAUUCUAACUAGUUCUUGUAGUUUUAUUUGCCAUAAAUUGCCGACACAUGUGGUGGUGACUGUAAUAUCACAAAAUUCAUAACCAUUCAGGCCAUUGGCAUGUAGAAAAUUGAUUGUCCUGUAAGUUAUGUGAUUUUUAAAUGAUGAUGUGAUUUCUCCAUUUAAGUUAGUAGCACAAAAAUUUGGGAAUUUUCAAUCUAUAAUUAUGAUCGGCUCGAGUUAUUGACUCUCUUUUGAAUAUGUUGGCUAGUUUCAAAAUGAUGGAACGGCCUUUGUAUGUCUCAUAUUCCAAAGAUCAAACAUUUGAUAUGAUAAAAUUGGCUAGAAAUAGUGAAGGGUUUUUUGAUUUUCAAGUGUAUUCAUUGGAGUUUUGUCAUUGUAAUAUUUAGCUUCGAAAAAACUCAAUCAAGUGGUUAAAAAAUGUGAUUGGACAUUUGCGAUUUUGCAUAUGAGAGUUUGAAAGAAAAUGUCGGUGCAGACUAAUUAGUGAUGUAUGGUGUGCCUUGGUUUCUACCUAAUAUGAAGUUUGGAAGUUGGGUGAUUAAAAUAUGAUAAAAAUAUUGUGAUGUUGAUGAAGAUUUAAUAAUAUAUCACAUAGCUCCUUUUGAAAUUCAAGAAGUAAACAAACACGAGACGUGAAUUAAAAUUAGGAUAUGCGUUUUUAUCAAUUUUUUGAAAUAAUAAAUAAAAUGCUACUUUUUCCAGCUACUCCAUGGUAACAUUUAAAAACAAUUUUAUGUUUUAAUUUUCAUAAUUAUGAAAGGCAUCAAAGAAAUAAUUUAUUUAUCCUUCUUCCAUUGUAUAUUAACCAAUUUAGUAGAUUUAGAUGUAAAUUAUACAUAGGUAGGAUGCUGUAUGUUUCAAAUUCUGAGUCUUUUACUCAAUUAUUUAUUAAGAGCAAUACAUUAAUACAUUAACGAUGAAUUGAAAUGAUAAAUUUAGAAACAUUUUUUUUUAAAUACAAAUUGGAUCGAAGACUUAGAACACAGAAUUUAUUGAUCUUCAAUCCACAUAUUGCAAUUGAGUUAAGCUCUUCAAAAUUUAAAAAUCAUAUAUUUUUUAAACCUCUCUUGAGUAAUUCACACUAAAAAAAACAAACAAGGAGACUUGGAGGGAUUCCAAUAGUUUAUAACAAACUUUUAUACAAAUUUGAAGCAAGGGAGACUUGGAGGAUUCCGAUAGUUUAUAACAAACUUUUAAUAAUAUAAAGUUAAGAUUUGAAUUAAAAAUGGCAGUAGACUCGAAAAAUCUUAAAUAACUUUUGAAGAUCUAUAAGAUUAAAAAUGAAGAGUAUCGAUUUGGUUUUUAAAAAUUAAGUUUAUAAAUACUACUUUUAUUCGUAAAUUUAUUUAUUUUAUCCAACUCAAAUUUAGGUAAGAUUGUGUUUUUUUAAAAAUUUAUUUUUGUUUAAAAAUUUUGAUUAAGAAUAUGAGAACUUUUCUAAAAAUGUAAAAAGUAUACUCUAUGAUUAAUUUUUUCAGAAAUAGAAACUAAAAUAAAAAGUAAUUUAUUUUAGAAAAAUAAAAACAAAUUCUUUGAAAAACAAAUAUUUUUCUGAGGUCAAUGGAUCAAAAUUUGUGAUUAAAUCUUUUUUUUAGGUUAAAAACCCUUUGAAAAUGAAUGGUCAAUUAUACCCCCGGAUCUUCGUCGUCGUUGGGUUUAACUCAAUUUCCCGUUUCUCGUCAGAACUGCAAACUGAAGACGGAACCCGCGAAUUCGUUGCCGAACAAAGAUCUUCAGUGCGAGCUUCAGUCUAGACAUGGGUACUAGAGAAGUUUACGAACAGAAGCUAAGAAGAGGCAAUCUCUACCAUGAACCCACUAUGAAUCCAGGGCUCGGAUCGCCUCGUUGCCCUCGCUGUUUUUCUCUUCUUAAACCCGACCCUGUAUUUGUCUCUUCUUCUUCUUCUAUUAAGCACCUUCUACUACUUAAGUUUUUUAGUUUUGGGAUUCAUGUUUGAGUUUUACUGUGUUUUGAUUCAGGAUAAAAGUGAAUGGGCCAUCAAUCCUGUUCUCCACGGUGUUACUGCUGUGGUGAGUUGCCAUCGUUCCGAUCUUCGAUUUUAUUUGCUUUGAGAACACAUAAUUUAAUGGGUGCUUCUAGGUUUUUUGAUCGUGUAGAGUUAUAAUUGAACUCUAUGUUGUGUUUGUUUAAUUGGUUCGGUCUUGAGUAGUUCAUGAACGUUUGUUGAUCGAUGAUUUAGGAGUUUAAUUCAAUUCAGUUCUUGCUAUUAGCAAUUGGAGUAUUCUAUCUAACUCAAUUCAUGGUUUUCAAGGGACGUAAAAAAUUGUAGGAAUGAAGUUCGUGGUUUUCUUUUGGAAAAAUCUUUAUUUGUUCGCUAAUUCAAUCUGUUUUAUUUGGUACUAUUUGAUAACCCUUUGGUUUUUUAUUUUUGAUUUUUUGAAAGUUAAGCUUAUGCGGUUGUUAUCUACUUCUUAGAAGUGUUUUCAAAACCAUGACAAGUUUUGAAAACUAAAAAAAAGAGUUGUUUUAGUUGUUGGUAGGCUAAGAAUUUAAAUGUUUAAAUGCGAAAAAUGAAAACAAUGGAAAGGAAGUUGUAAGAAAACCAGCUUAAUUUUCAAAACCCAAAAAUCAAAUAGUUACAAAACGGGGGCUCAGUUUCAAACUCCAAAGUAGUUUCAUGAUUUUUUUACUUUUACUUUCGAGUUUAUCCCAAUGAGGAGUUCCUUGAAAUUGCAAGUAAUGUAUGAUUCUGAGGAAUUCUUCUUCGGUUUAUUCCUUGAGCUGUGAGGUUCUUCUUUUUACAAUUUAUUACCUUUCAAAAUUUAACGUUCGGAUGUUUUUGUCAUAAUUAUUUUGGUUUCCAUGUCCCUUAAUCAUUCUUAUAUUGCCUUGUAAAACAGGCAGGAUCCGGCCUUGGUGGGUUACUGAGUGCAGUUCAUGCCUAUAAUACGGGUAAUCCUAUUAAACUUUCAAUAAUAUUUCUUUUAGUUUACACAAUUACUCAUCAUUUUCUCUGAUUACAGGGAUCCCACACCUCCAAAGUCAUGUGAAGGGACCAAAGUGGCUUCCUUUUGUAAUUGGGGUAUGCUUUAAUUGUGAUCUUUCUUUGUUUUGUGCUGAUAUUAAAUUAUGCAAUCCAUUUAGUAUUGUUGCAAAUGUCAAUGGAGUUGCUUACUUGAUUCUUCUGAGUAUUGUUCCAUCUACCAUUUAUGUGACUUCCACACUUAUCUCUUUGUUGACAGGUGCCCGCCCUAUUAUUGUGCUCAAGUGCUGGAGCUACAUUUGGAGGUAUGCUAGGAAAUAGUUUUUGCUUGUUCUCUGUUUUAAAAAAAGGUUGAUGUUAUGUUGGUAUGUGGUUUUUGUAUUUAUUUUAUAACAUAAUUUGGAUUACUGUAUUGAAAUACAUAUACAGAUGAAGGGAAGGAUUAGAACUAAAACCUGUGUACAAACAUGGAAAGAUUACCAAAAAAUUUUUCAGUGAGCGAUUAGCAAAUUAAUAGGAAAGAUCGAUAAAUCCUUCGAAUUAAAGUGGGAAAGAGCUACAUUCCUCCAUUUUUAUCCUGGCUCACAUAUCUUCUAUAAAAGUCUUGUUAUUUAUCUCAUUUUCUAUUACUGAAUGCUAGUGUCUAAGUUGUUAUAGCAGUGAACUUCUUAAAUUUUUUUAAAAAGAAAGUAAAAUAACAACAUGCAUCUCCACUUGAAAGCUAGAAGAGAAUCUUGGGAUUCCAUCACUCUAAUAUUAUUGGACCUUGGCUUCAUAAUGCUUUUCUGGAAUGGAUUUCCUUCUCUUCUCCUUGCGUCAGAGCUUGCUGAUUGACUUUCUGCUCAAAGGUGUCAAGUGUCUUUUAUUUAGCUCCCUCUUCAUGGAGUUGUACAAAGAAUUUUGGCACUGUAGUUUCUCAAGAAAAGUAUCUCUUCCUUUUGGAGCUCAGUACGAGAGUGUGAAUACCCAUGCUAUCAUGCAUUAAGGAACUCUUGCUUGUCCUUUUUUCCUUGUUGUGAUGUGUACCUUAGAUGGAAAACUUGAAGAUUUGAGCUGCACUUUUCUCUGCACUUUUCUCUGCUGCCAUUCUCCAACAGAUUUUGUGAUACUCUCGUACACUGGCCGUCGGCUUCUCUAUAGAGCCUUAAAGUUUCUUGGAUUUAUUUAGGCUUGGACUUCUUUCACCCAGUAGGGUGGGUUUACUGUAAAAGCUUUUGAGGUUGUUUCAUGCUUGCAUUCUGUCGGAAGUUAGAAUUUUGUUUGUUUGUUUGGUUCUAUUGAGUUCUUGCAUCCCUUGGUCUGUGGCAAAAGGAGUCCAGGAUCCUUUUCUUAGUUGAGGACUAAGAAGCUUUCUCAAGACGUGGAUAAAACAUAAAAUGUUUGUGUACAUGAUGGUCAGUUUCCGAAAAAGUAGGAACUAGACAAAUUGGGGAUACAUAUUUCUAUAAGAAUGUGAAUGUAUUAUUUACUUUGUAUAGAAGCUAGGGUUUCAUUGAGAAAACGAAUGAAUAUACAAGGUCAUAAGGAAAAGAAAAGCCAACAAAAAGAGCCUCAAAGAGGUUCAAAGAACUACAAAAAAUGAUUAAAAUCCUUAAGAAUAAAGCCUCGCUGGUAAUUUCAAAAGACCUUACCACCGAGGUCCAACCAAUAUGAAACCCAAUCUCUUUCUUUCAACUUGUCCGCCGACCUCUACUCCUAAAAAUUCUACUGACUCUACUCUGUCCGAACCCUCAAAUAACUUUAAAAAGAAAAAUCCCUUCUCCCUAAAAGGGACAAACACAAAAUCUCCUAUAUAUUUUUUUUUAUGUUUCUGAAAUGUUAAAGCCGGGUAGAUAAGCUGUCCAAGGAUAAAAGCGAAAUCUUCUAGCAACAACGUUCCAACUCUACUAAUGCUCAUCCCAAAGAUAAAAAACCAGUCUUGACUCCACCAAGUCAUAGAGAUAUGGAAAUUUAAUUGUAAAUGGUUCAGAGUCUAGCUAAGCCUUUUAUGUUCUCAUGUAAUUUUUUCACAAUAUCACCUUGGAAUAUUUAACAAAAAGUUUCUAUUUCCUUGUGAAAAUAAGUGGCGAAUCCAAACAAGCAUCCUCACAAAAAAUUUUCAUCUUUCCAUUGCUAAGCUUUAACCAUGAAUAAUAAGAUUACAUCAAGCCCUUUUAACUUUGCAAUAUUCCAAGGGCUCUUAGGGCUUCCCUUUUUUUUGUCAGUGACAAACCUCUCAUCCUCCUCCAAUGUAUGCUAGAAAGCAUUUUCCUAGAACUUCUCUUUUGUAAUAGAUGCAUUCUACUUUCAACUUCAAUUGAAUGCCUCCCUACAUGUGGUGCUUUGGGAUACACAUUCUAAAUUAUUUCACAAUGUAUGCAUAUAAAAUAAUAAUAACUAUUAUUGUUAUAAAAUUAUAUUUCCCUCGAUUGCUUAUUGGACUUCUGUUGGUUUUGGUUUUGGUUUUCAGCUUAUGUGCUAUCUAGUUUUGGUUUCGUUUUUGGAGCUAGUUUGUUAGGUUUUAUGUGUUUCCUUUGGUGUUUUAUCCACUUUGUACCUCAAUAGUUUUUCAUCUCCUAUUUUUUCACAACUUAUCUGUCCCCUGGAAUGUUAUGGAUUAGUCUCUUUUCAUUUUUAUCAAUGAAUAAUUAUAUUUCCUUUUCUCCAAAAAAAAAAAAAGAAAAAGAAAAAAGAAAAAUUAUAUAAUAUCUCUGUGAACUAUUGUCAGCUAUCCUUGUAUAUAAUUAAAUCUUUAUGUAUGGUUGUCAAUGCUGCAUAAACACCUUUUAGGAAGUGGGAGAUCUAUAUCCUUUUCUGGAAUAUCUAGAUAUUCUUGCUAGUUGCUUAGGCAGUGUGUAUGAUUUGGCACUGUGCUCUGUUAGAGUAUGACGAUUGAAGAUAUGGCAUAAUCGAGCCUCCUUUCUAUAACAAUUUCUUUUUAGUUUUCUAUUUUCUAAAGUUAUGCAUGCUUUCUCAACUGUUCCUUUAGUAUCUCUUUCAAAUCUCUUGAUAUCACACAUUUGAUUUUAUUAAAAAAAUUCGGAAUAAAACAAGCUGUUAAUAACGGCUUUUUAAAUUUUAAAAUUUGGCACAGAGUUAAAAACUAUUUCGGACAAGUAUAUAACGAAAGAAAGAAACACAUCAAUUAUAAACCUAAUAUUAAAAAGCAGAUAAAAAAAUGGUAAAAAAAGGGGUUAAUUUUAGAUAUUCAUUAUUCAAAAUUAAUUUGCAUAUCAGCAUCCACUAACCAUAGGUCUUAGUGUUGCUGAAGGUGAAUAUAAUUGUCUGUUGACAUACAAUCUGCAGGUUUUGCUCUUCCAAGAUUUACUCAACUCACUGUAACAUCCUACUAUGCCACCUCAAGUGCUUCCCAUUAUGGAGUUUCACUUCUCACUCGAAGAAUUGAAGACAAUCACACAUCCCGAACUUAGUAAGCAAGCACUCAGUGAUUUCACAGGUCGCAUAAUUUCAAGCAAGGAAUCAUCUUCUCUUUUCCUAUUCUUUUUUUUUUCCUCAUGGAAAUUUUGGAAAGUCAUAUUUGGCUGUAGAUUUAGUCAUUUAGAAUGUCUAAUUUAUUUUUGCUUUUGUGGAGACACCUACCAAUGUAUGUAAAUUGCAGAGUCUCUGUUUCGCAGUAUAAUAUGCAAAUAAUAACGCUAUUACGGUUGUGUGACUUUCAACUAACAAGGAAUAUUGUUGAGAAUUUUGUAUAACUUUGCUGAUAACAAUGAAAACUUCACAGCAGUAAUGUGAUAUUUGUAGUGUAGUAGUUUAUUGAAGGCAAUCCCUGCCCUUCUUGAUGUUUAUAGAAAACAAACACUUCCCCCAUUAGUUUUUAGGAUUUGUACUGAAAUAAGCAAGAGUAACUGGUAAUUUGGUUAAUGGUAAUCAAUGAAUUGCCAUAAGGUGGUUUCUCAUUUUUGCCCAAAAAAGGUUCUUACAUCCAACGUAGGACGUCUGCUCAUGCAAGUAGCUAUUGAAUUGCAUCAAGAAGGAACUACAUGAAGAAUGCCUUAAGAUUACAUAUAAGAACAAGGGACUGCCCAAAUUCUUCUCUGAUUCUAGAUGGAGAAUUAUGAUUGUAAUUUUAUAAAAGUUUGAAUUUCCCCUUUGCUGAUUGGCUUUUAGCAACACAAGCUAGCAGGAAAGAAACCUUAGGACUUUUGAAGACAAGUCCCCUCCUUCUGCUUCUUGGUAGUGCUCUAUCCACAAAACAUGUUUGUGUAAUCACAAUAUUUAUUUUAUGAUCAUUCCACUUUCAUUUUCUAGGUUUUCGGCAGGGUUCACUCUACUCUGGCCUUUAAGCUAUUCUUUUACAUAUUUGAGUGGAAUUAUUUCUGGCUUUCUUUUUCAAAAGAAGAUUGUAAUUUCAGAAUUUUACCUGUUGGUUUUAGUACCCUUUGAGCUAGCUUGCCUAGACUCUAGAUAAGAUAGUGCUAUAAUUGUUGUUAAACCCGGAACAUGAUGUUAUCUGUCUCUCUUCUAGAAUUAAAUUCCAUUGAGAAUCUGCGGUUCAGGAUUCAAAGCCUAAUCUCCUCUUUCCAUAUUUGCUGUGAAGGAAGGAAGGGCCUGGCUGGUUGGUUGUCUCCUUUCCAGCAAUCGAGGUACCUUAAAAUUCACAAAGUGCCACAGUAUCCACUCGUAAAUUAAGCCAUAUCUUGUCUUGUAUCCCUGGGCAGACAGUUUCCCACUUCACUUUUGGUACAUUUUAUUUGAGCUAGGGGGGGUCACCAAUGGGCACAGCAAGAAAAAGGGGAGGGCUAUCUAUGCUUUCGAGUACAGCCAGUAAGUGGUGGUGGCAGUGACUCAGAUUGGUUUCAAUUAGUUUCUUGACUUUGCUUUCUUUCAUUUGCAGGGCUCAUUUCAAUCUUGUCUUUUGGCAAUAACUACGAGGUUCUUAUACUUGUAGGACAAUACAUUGAUCCAUAAGUCAUUAUUGGUUUGAUUGACUAGGUGCACUGAAUACCUGAAAUUGGAUUGAGUAUACGAGUGAAUGAGUUCACGCUAUCUCGUUUGGUAAUCAUUUGCUUUUAGUUUUUUAGUUUUAAACUUAAGCUCAUAAUAAUUGUGUUCGCUCGUAAGUUUCUGUGUCACUAUCUGAUACUUUCUAUUUGAAAGAUAAAUUACUUGUCAAAAGUUUAACAUGAAGUUCCAUCUCAAAAUCUAUUGACAGUGAGAGGAGCAACCCGAUAUCUUAUAAAUAUUGUGAAGUCCAUCUCUAAAUUGGGAUCUUCAACAUACCUUUUGAAGAUACAUAUGUUGGUUCACCAGAUUUUAAUUUUUUCUUUUAAGCUGAAUGCUUGUUUUUGGUUCAAUGAACUUGGAUACUGUAUUAAAUAAGAUGAGUUUCAUCGUGAAACUAAUUGACAAUAUAAAAAGUAAGUUAACUAUAUGUUAUAUGUAUUGGAACGUUAAUUUUUUUUUAUGUGGGAUCUUAUAUCUUAAGAUGAUACAUUUUUGGGUUCACCAUUCUUGAAUCAAAUUCCAAAUUUUUUAUAAUGAAAAGAGUUGUUCAUCUAAGAUGUAAUAAUUUUGUUUGUGAACUCAACAUUUCUUGGACUUGAUCGAAGAGAUGAAUAUCUGGUUGAUUAAUGAAAGAGUUCAUAAGCAUCUUAACCAAAAAAAGUUACACAAAUUGAUAAUUUUGAGAGUUAAGAAACAAAUGUUCAUUCAUAUUUUUAACACAAAAAAAGAGGAAGUCUUGAGAAGUACUUCUGCUCCAUUUCCCUUCCCUUUUUACCCUCUUUUUCAAGAACUGUUUGACCCUCUUUGAGAGGAAUAAUAUUGACUAGCUGAAAGACAAAGAGGAUGUACGUUUGUUGUUGAGCGUUUAUACAUUUUUUCUUUUGACAUCAUUUAUACUUUCUUUUCAGUUCGAAACUCAUUCAAUUUUUAUCCUUUUACUAACUUUGUUUUUUCCGUGAGGUACGUAGAUUUGAACUUUUUUGACCAUUGGUGAAAUGUACAUUCAAAUAUCGUUAUAUGGUUAUGCUAUGCUUACCUUAUGGCUUACAAAUUUUAUGUUAUGAGUUUAGUAUAUUGGAAGAGUUCAAAUUACAUAAGAGCAAGUGUUAUACAUAGAGCUUAUGUGAGAGCAAUAAUGGUUUUGAAAAAUGGCUUACAUGUAUACUUAGUCCCAAAAUUUGUGAAUAACCAAAGAUGAACAUGAUCCAUUUACCAAUAAUUUGUGAGGGAAUUGGCCCAAGCCCAAUUGUAGCCUUAAGCAUGGAUAGAAAACAAUUGGAAAUUAGCUAAUUUUAGUUCUCUAGAAGUGAUUGCCCUUCAUCAAAUGUUUGGUGAGAGAAUUCAAACCUAAUAAGACUCUUCUAGUUUUGAUUUGAUUUAUAUGUAAAACAUUUCAAAAAAAUGGUGAAUGGUUCAUUCUUAACACAACAACGUUGAAGGUGGAGGCAUAUGCACAAUCACUUUUUUAUAUUUUAAUUUUAGUUUAACAAGUACAAGGGAAUGAAUAUUUGGUUAUACGAUAAUCACUUUUAAUUCUUAAACUUCUACGAGAAUAAUAUGUUACAUGAACUUUAGUUUUUACUUGUACUUUGAAACAUGAUACAAGAAACUUUGCAUGAGGGCUUUUACCGUUCUUCCACUUUGAUCCACUCUUCUAGUUCGAAGAUACGGUUGGAGAUGACAUGCUCAAGAGUACUUACAUUAUGUUGAGUGCACUUUGAUGUCCAAGUUAAUAUAUGAAAUAUUUAAGUCGAUUAAGCACAUAGAAAUUUAUUUAUCUCGUAAAAUGUUAUUGAUAUUAGGUUAUUCAUAAGACCAUUCCUCUAACUUCCUUUUAGAGAUAUGUGUAACAUCAAACUUAACUUUUCGCAUUUGUAGAUUAAUUAACUUCACGUUAAAAAGUCAUUGGUUCAAAUAAAUAGUCUUUUUCGUUAUAACCUUGCGAUAUGCAACUUAUGUGUAUGGUUUUCAUUUAAAUUCUACUUUAUAAAAUUUGCUUUGACAUGUUGACAUUUUUCACUUAUGUCUUUCUUUUAUUUUUUUUCAUCUUCAUCAACAUUUUAUCAUAUUUUUAAUGAUAUUUUUGUAUAUUUAUGUCUGCAACGUAGAAUUUAUUCCCUCACGUUAUUUUCGUUUAACAAAAGUCAAAUUCAAGAUGAAUAAUAAAGAUUAAUUGAUCAUAUCUUCUUUAUCUUCUGUUUUUCAGUGGAACAGUGAGUAGCAAACAUCAACUCGAAAUUAUUGGAUUAUUUUUUUUCAUUUCAUUGAUCAAAUGAAAUGACAGAGUCAGAGGUUUAAGAAAAAAAAAAAAAAAGAGACGAAAGUAAAAAAAAGAAAGAAAAGAAAAGUGAAGUAUGGUUUGGUCUGUGCAAUAUGAAAGUGGAAAAAGGGCUUCAUUGAAAGUUAUACUGUGCAUUUGUUAUCACCACAGACACUUGUCCUCAAAAAGUAAGCAAUCAUCAAUGUUUUUGUAUAUAUACAUUGCUUUAUUCUUAUCACUCUCCUUUUCGAGUAAUUUCUUCCAUUAUUACUACUCACCUAAAAUUAAAUGCACAAUUCUUUUUACCACUGGUGAAUUUUUUAAGAGUUUAAUGAUACUGCAUUGAUAGUUUAUGUUUAUAUACUAACGAGUUUCUUUUUUCAAUUUUUCUUAGUUUUUCAUUUUUAAAAUGUUUGAAAGAUAAAUUGAUAUUGAUAUAAACAAAAAAAAAAAAAAAAUUGAAAGUUUAAAGAUAUUGCUAAACAUGUUUGAAUAGUAACUAUUACCAUAUUGCUAAGCUAGACUUCAGAUUGAAUAUUUUCAUUAGCAUUUUGUUAUGUUUAUUGAAAUUAAAAUACUGAAAGAUAUUGUUUACAUUUUUUUGAAAAUUCAUCAUCUUUAUACACAUUUUUUGAGUACUUAUUCAUAGACAUUUAGCUCAUGUGCAUAAUGUAAAAUUAAAUACCAAUAUAUACGAUGAUUGCAGUCAAUAUUUGAAGAAAAUUAAUGAGUUGAUGGACCAAUUAUUUUUAUGAUUUUUUUUAAAAGAAAUAUUUAUGUGAUUUAAAGUUGCAUAUCAAAUGCACUAUGGUGUAUGAUGAUCUCUAGUUUUGGUCCAUAGGUAAUUAAUGUUAUUGUCAAUAUAUAGCUUACAAGAAAUCUAUUAAAGUAUUUUUGGUAUAUAAUUGCAAAAAAAAAAAAACCUUCCAAUUUAAAAUGAUAGAAGAAACAUCGUAAUUAGAAAAAGAACUUGAAUAAUGUACACCCAUGAAGCAACAUGACAAUGUAUCUUAAAAAACAAUUACUAAUUUUUAGUUGCUCGAAUUUCCUUUACCUAUAUAUUGUACUAAAAAAUUUAUUUAUUUGAACGAGUGUUUGUUAAAUGCAAUUAUAUAAAAUAUCUCUUUGAAAAUUGUCCAGAUAUAUCAAUUAUAGUCCUGCAUUUUAUAAUUUAUGGAGGUAAUUAAAUUAAAGUAUUAUUGCCCCUCCUAAAAUGUAGACUAACUUAGAUUUUAUAAGAAGAGUAUGAGCAUUAUAAAUGAUUUAAUUGAAUAGGGUUAGGGUUUGUUUGUUGGGUGGGUUUAAUAAGUACAAUGGGACACACAUUAGGGUUUGAUUGAUUAAGUUUGUUGAAAAAAAUGAAGAUAUGAGAAUUUAAACCAUGGCCCUCCAUGCUACCUCCAAAGAUAAAACUCAUGUUUUGGUACAUAGUACCAUUCUCUCUCUCUCUCUCUCUCUAUUUCUUUUAAAAAUUGCCUCCUUUUUCCCUACCAUCUAUAGUUCUCAUUUAGAUAAGAAUCUUCAUUUCACCCUUCAGUUUUUUCUAACUCUUCCCCACUUAAUCCCACUUCAUCAAUAAUGUUGCAUAAUUCAACCAACGUAAUGUUUGUUUUAAUUUGUACCGUCAACUUUAGGUAAUUCAAUUUUUUCUCCUAAAAGAAAAUCUCUAUCUUUAACUCAAUCGAUGUAGUGCUAGCUCGUACUUUCAACUUCAAAACUAGAGGUUCGAUCACCUUUCCGUAUGUUGUUAGAGGGGAGAGAGAGGGAGAGGGAGAGGGAGAGGGAGAGGGAGGAGAGAAAGAGAGAGAGAGAGCUGAGAGCCUCUUCUCUCUCGACACAAAAGCAGCAGUACAAAAGAUGGAAAAACAAAGAUGGCAGAACCUAACUACCAUACACGUUCACAUGUUGUUUCAAAAAGAGACCUCGUAGAGGCCAAAUUCAGGACACUCUUUUACCUUUUCCCCCCUCCCUUUUUUCCUUUCUCUUUCAUAUUCAACCUUGUUUUUGCCAUUUUUAAGCCCUUAACUUCUUCCUUCUAUUCCUUUUAAUUAUUUUUUUUUAAAAAAAAACAAUCAAGAAAUGAAGUAGAAAUACUUAUCAUCAUACAUGUUUUUUUGUUUAUAUUUUAUAAGAAUAAACACAUAAAUAUACCAUAGACAGUAAAACAGAAUCUUAGACCAAAUUAUAGCCCACUACAUCACUAGAUCUCUCUUGAAAAGAAAAAGUAAAGGUAGGCAACGUUUCGAGUCGUAUCGUUAUAGCUAGAUUCGUGUUCGCUACUACUUAAAAAGUCCUUGUUGACAAAUAGGUGUGUUUUUAAGAAACAUGUACACUUAGAAGUGACCCAUGCCAGCUUCUCAAUUGUAUAGAAUCCUUUCCAUCAUCCAACUUACCAUUCAACUUUUUUUUCUUUCUUUUUAAACAAUAAUAUAUACUUACGUGCGUGUUUAAAACUACACCUAUCUUUUUCGAGCAUCGCUCCAACUACACAACAUAAGUACUACAUUCUUUUUUUUUUUGAAGAAAAAAUGAAUUUAAACUAUAGUUAAACAAUUGAGUGAGUUGAAAAUAAAAAUGUAUGCAUCUAAAUAUUUAUCGUUUUAUAGAACUUGAAUUCAUUCCUAUUCCCUCUACCUCAAAAUUUCCAAUCUAACAUCACAAACCCAUAUAUUCCAAUAUCUUUGCUAAGCUAUCAGCUUGACUAUGGUCCCCCCUCUUUAGCAGUCCAAAAACCCCACAUGAUCUACAUAUCCAAAUGUACCAUUCACUUCAAAGCUUAUGCCUCUUCUCCCUUCUUCCAUUCAAACACAUUCAUGUAGAUUCCUUUCUUUCCUUUUCUUUUCUUUUUUUCUUGCCCCCCCUCCCCUCCCCUCUUCCUUUUUUCUCAGUCCCGACUUCGAAAACUAGUGGCUUUCAGUUGGCCACACUGUUCUCUACAAAUGACGCAGUUUGUCAAGUAAGUGGCCCCGUGUUAGGAAAUAACAUCCAUGUGUGCAGGAGCCAAUUCAUUAAUUUUCUUAAGAGCCCACAAACACAAACACAAACACUUUACCUUCUAAACAUUUAUAUUUUACUUACACAACUUUUUUUCUUUGUCACUAAAAGAGUUUGCAUUUAGAUAAAUUAAAACUUAGGUGUUGACCAGCAUGAUUAGCACAUAUUAUACCAAGUUUAUUAGGUUUUCAAUGUUCAAGAGAAAAAAACCCAGUGAGAUUAUUGAAAGAAGUAAGAAAGUUUGUGGACAAGUCAACUUUUGUUAUUAUUAUUGUUUUAUUUAAUUUUGGAGAGGGACAAUGAUAAUAAGUUUAUAUCAGGUCUUUGUGGGCUCAAAAGAUAUUGGAUGAAACCUCUCAAAUAUUAAAGAAAUAAAAGAGGGUUGGCCACAAUAAUUUAUUGUUCUAUCUGACCUAAGAGAGAGGAAAUUAAAUUGAAGACACCUACAAUCCUUAUUUUUUCAACUGUUCAACUUUCACUUUGAUUGGGCUACUUCGACAUGUACAUAGGUUCUUUUUUUUUUUUUUUUAAGACCCAAAAUUUUCUUUUUACAAUUCUUUUAAAUUAGAAUUUAAAACUAAUUAUUUAAUGAAUUUCCCUAUUUUGAUAUGGUGAAGUUUUCAAGUUUUUUUUAUUUGUGUUAGCUCAAUUGGAUAGUUCAAUAUAUUUGCUUCGGGUUAAAAAUGAAAAAAGAAAAAGUUUGAACAUUUUUUUUUUUUAAUUUUUAAGGUACUACUUUUUUUUGUUUAGGUAUAGUUAAAUAAAUUCAAUUACAUUUAGUUUGAGGGGAAAAAAUAGACCAAUGUGCUAAAUUAGAAUUCACUAGCCAUGUGAGGUUUUCGAUCCAAUUCGUACUACUAACAUUUUUCAACUAAUAAAAAACAAUCUACUUGCUUGAAUGUUGGUACGAUCCUUCUUUCUUGUAAUAUUUGGUUGAACUAAAAAAAAUAUAAUGUAGGUGAUGCUUUUAUUUUCUUUUUCAAUUUAAAGUACUUUUUUAUUUCUUCCUCAAUGUGAGAAAGAGAUGUAGAACAUGAAGGAAAUUAGAGGAAAGGAACCAAAAAAAAAAAAGAAAAAAG
Molecule: long non-coding RNA, 79534 nt
Filed under: Cucumis sativus (cucumber)
Lineage: Eukaryota; Viridiplantae; Streptophyta; Magnoliopsida; Cucurbitales; Cucurbitaceae
Description: long non-coding RNA (CSAT_LNC001249)
Source: RNAcentral